This 56957-nucleotide long non-coding RNA is filed under the name Phoenix dactylifera (date palm). RNAcentral's name for it is "long non-coding RNA (PDAC_LNC000366)". The record is from RNAcentral. Lineage: Eukaryota; Viridiplantae; Streptophyta; Magnoliopsida; Arecales; Arecaceae.
GAGGAGGGGGUUGAGUCCAAAGCCUUGAAAUCUUGGUCUUGGCAGCCUUGUUUGAAGGGCUUGAAACACAUGCCUGGCUAAUAUUAGGUGACCUGUGUAGUGCUCUUUAUAGACCAGAAACCCUAUAUCAAAGUCUAGCCUACUAAGAGUAUGGAAUAAGAAUCAUAUGAGGAAAAGGGAGGAAUAGAGGAGGGGGGGGUUAGUCCAAACCCUGAAAUCAUUGUCUUGGCAGCCUUGUUUGAAGGGCCUGAAACACAUGCCUGGCUAACAUUAGGUGAUCUGUCAAGUGCUCUUUAUAGACCAGAAACCCUAUAUCGAAGUCUAACCUACUCAGAGUAUAGGAAUAAGAAUCAUAUGAGGAAUUUGUUAUGUUGCUUUUUUAGUUGCAUCUACUUUUUUUUCUGGUAUAGUGGAUUCUCUUUCUGCAAAAAGAAAAAAAAGAAGAAGAAAAAAAACUCAUCAUCCAGUUGAUUAACAUGAACGUGAUUGAAGGAUUAGAUCAAAAGUGCUUGUUGAACGAAACUAGCAACAAAUGAAGGGUUACAAAGCAGAAUGAAGGGGAGAGGAAACAAUUGCUAAGUAAUGGAGAUUUGCAUGGCAAAGAAUCUUGUGGAUCAAGGAUUCAGGACCCAGUAUUUCCUCGUCUAUCCUGGCCAUCCUAGAUUAGAUCGGUGAGAUACCAUGUGUUGGGACACAUUCAGGACCCUGAUGCCUAUAAAAUUGGGUUGUCUUGACUGAUAUGGGUCUGUAUUGGAUCGGGUUGAUGAUUGGGAUAAUUGGGACCACCGGCACCAGCAGGCUCAUGAAAGAAAGACAUGAGAGGCUCUCUUCUUUUUGCUAUUUGCUUCACGUGCGAAAGGAAAGAGAGAGUCUCAAAGCCUAGAACAAGCAAAUGUGAACACAUGUCCCAACGGAAAUUGGAUUGGCAGCCCCCAUAGGCCAAAGGUAGGUCUGAGGAGAGGUCGUCUGUUCAUUCAUCCUCUAGAUACAGGACAACAUACAAAAGACAAGGAGAGAGUNNNNNNNNNNNNNNNNNNNNCGAAGGAGAGGAGGAGUUGAAGAAAGGGAGAGAAAGAGCUUAGGUCAUGGAUAUACAUUUAACCCAAUACCAUAUCGGUGUGGUACCGGCACCAUAAACGGAAUAAUGGGCUAAAAAACCUCCCCUAAUAAAUUAUGAACCUAAAACAAUGCAAAAAAGCCUUUAAACAACUAUUAAAAACCACAAAUGAGAAAAGAAUGAAAAUAAUACAAUAAUAAAGAAGAUGUUUUAGUUAAUCCCCAAGAUGCCAAGCUAUCCCAAGGGUCAGUAUGGUACCAAGUCCCUAACCAAUACUGCAUUUGGGACCUGGAUUUCAAACCUCUAUGGAUCUUAUUCCAUAGGACGGAAGCAGCUCCAAAAAUUUUGAAAACAUAACAGUAGUUUAUGGAGUCACCAUAUUUUUAGUGGGUCAAGUUGUAGUUAAAUGCUUGUCUUAUCUCAUGACUGUAAAGUAAUGUUGUGACAGUGCCGUGUUAGUGCAUGAAGUAGAAAAUUUAUUGUGUAAGUAUUAGAUAAUUAUGUUCUUGGUUAUUCAAAGAAAAUGCACCCAAUACAUUCUCACUUUAUGUUGCAUUAUUAUUAUUAUACCAGGUUCCACUUGUCAUCUUGACGAAGUACCUCCAGAAUAAAUUUAAAAAUGCCAUGGUAUGCCAACUCUUCUGAUGAUAUUUAGAAAAAUAAUUUUCAUCUAGUCUUCUAGUAUCUGGAAACAUUGAAAAGAAAUUAUCAUUUCCUUCUUCUAAAUUGAGAUAUUUAUCGGUCCACUUUUCAUUUUCCUUGAGCACGGGCAGGUGGGAAACAUGAUCUUCUGGUUCUUCUUCAGCAUAUAUGGACAGCCUAUGUGCAUUCUCCUUUACUACCAUGAUGUGAUGAACAGAAAAGUGAGGACAGAGUAAAGCAAUAUCUGUCAUCACGCUUGAUUUCAAAUGCAGGGAAUUUGAAGGUACAUAAAUUUUGCAAUCUUUCAUCUUACAAGCAGCUCGGCAGUGAGUGCACUUACCAUUUCCAGGUCUGAACAGUGCUUUUUUUUUCCUCUCUAAUUCAACAUGUAUAAAGUUUCCUGACUUCUUGGACCCAUGUAUCAGUUCAACUUUGUUAGUAUAUUGCAAAUUUCAGCUUCAUGUCUGGAAAUAUAUGCAAGCAUAAAGAUUCAUGCGGUUUUUUAUGACUUAAUUCAUGCCACCCCGUUGAAGUGAAAAAACAUAAUUGAGGGCCUGUUUACAUAAUCCAACAAGAUUUGUGUUACAUUUUCUAUUGGAUUCGUGAAUUAGGAAGUCUAUUUUGAGUAUGGCUCAUAUUAACCAAACAUGUCCCUAGCCCGAAUCUUGUAGGUCUUUUUUUAUUUAUUCUCAUAGAUCAACAAGCUCACAGAGUCACAGGCAUUUGGGUUGGCAUUUCGGCGGGCUCUUGGACAAUGCAGUUUGGAUGGGCCAAUAGGCUUGAUUUCUGCAAAACGAUCCAAGUAGGUGGUUGUUGUUGUGUCCGUUACCCCCCUGGUCUUUGGAGACUACCAGCUAAAGGUUGUGCAUUUAUUAUUUUGCAGAGCAAUCAUAUUAAAAAUGCCUGAACAAAUAGUCUUUCUAAUAUGAGAUUUCAAACAUUUGCAUGGAUUAGGAUUCGUCCAAGUGGCUAAUGGUUGUACCCAUAUGGCUAACAACCAAAGCUUCUAGGGAUCUCUCUCCCUUCCAAAAAGAAAAAAGAUUUUCAUAUUUCAACUUCUUUAGCUGUCUAAGAUGAACGUUGCUUGUUAUCUGUGAUCAUAGAGGCGUUGCUGGCUGGGCUUUCAUUACGCCAUCUCUAACCUUAAGCAAGGGCGACUCAACCACUGUUAUUAGCUGGUCGAACGGCAUCAACACCACGUCCUACCCGUAUAUCCGUUCCUCAGAGCUCGAGGGCUCGAUCCCGGCCCUGCCCGGUUCACGGCUUUCGUCCGCCGAUUGCGCUUGCUUAGUAAGUUCCGGCCCAAUUUUAUCCGCUUGCUCACGCGCAUCCGGCUUUGGUUAUACUUUUGAACGCUUUUAAUUUGUGUUUUGGCCCUCUUGCUCACUCAACAAUAAAUAAAAAGACAAAAAGCCGAGUAUCAGAGAAAUGACUUUGUAGAGGCCACAGCAGAUUUGCCAUAGAAAGCGAAGCUACCAUUCUCACGGUGGAAUGCUAGAUCAACAUAUCAUAACAAUAAUCCAAUUAUCUUACAAUGUUGCUGCUUUAAAAUUACUUAGAAGUUAUGCAUGGUCAAUUUAAUAAUUUGCAACAUUGGACACUGAAAACACGGAAUGGUUGUUGCAAAAUGGUUUAGUAAAACAAAUAUAAUCAGUAUAAUAAGAAUGUUCAGCUGCUACACUCUGUAAGAAGCUUGGAGCAAGCUAUCGUUCGCUUAAGAGAUAAUGAAACAGAAAUUCGACGGGGGAGAAGCAAAUUGAAGCCUAGGAGGCAUGCCAUCUUUUUUGUAACUUUGAGACUUCCGGACCGGCCUAGAGAAAAUCUCAUUGUGGCAUGGUAAAAUACGUGACUAAGCUUUCAGAACAGCUUUGUGAACCAUGGUUUCCUUGUGUAUUUGGUGGCAGCUUUUUUCAACAAGGUCAAGCAGCUUCUCCAAGUUCAUCGCCCAAGAGUUUAGGAUGUCAUUGCUGUCCUUGGCUGUCUGAAAGCAAACAACUCCCAUUGGCCUGUCUAUCUUCGCAAUCAGGGAUUUUGACACCACCAUGUCUGAUAAAUGCUUUUCAGCUUCCUGAAAAAUAACGAGAGAGAGGCAUAAAACUUUGAUAGUUAAAUUUUUUUACAAAAAAAAAAACUACAAGCAUAUUCCGGAAUGCAGAUACAUAGGAUACAUGGUAUGAACACCAGAGAAACCAGACUUGAGAUGAAAAGGAAAUAAACAUGAAGGAGAGACAUGCCGCUACAUUUUCAUGUAUAUUGCAAAGAAUCAUAUGUAAAUGAUCUACCAUACAAAAAUGAUGAGAAUCAAAAAUUUGAAUGGAGAUAUCUAUAACUCCCAAAACACUUUGAUACAUGGAGGGGGGCAAGGAAACAUAAUUCUUGAUCAUCUUAUUUUGUGGAUAGUUAGCAACAUCAUUGGUUCUUGUGAAGCCCCACAAAAAAGGUAUAAAAAUGAAAGCAGCAACCAUGUCUCAACAUACAUACAAUUCCACUAUUGGCUGCUACUAAUAUAUACAUCCAAAUGUAAUUGGCAAUUUAUUGAGAACAAAGAUGGGCCAUGCAGCAAGAUUUUAAACUUAAGCUAUUCUACAGACAGCCCGACUAAUGAGUUAAUUGAACUGAACAGGUUUCUAUUCCUUCUAAACAGGAAAUUUUUUAUGCAUGAGACAAGAAUUUACUGAACAAGACAAAAAAAUAAAAAAGAAGAGGAAGGCAAAACUGCUUGGCAAGUUGCACUCUUCCCUCUCCAAGCAAAGAAAUAAGCCAUGCAAUUGGCCUCUUAGAAUUAGUGAUUCAACACAAUUUCAUGAAGAUCAGAACCAAACUAUGAUCCCAAAAGAUGCUGCUCUCAGAAUCCCUGGUGUGGGAAUCAAUGAAUGGCAGGUACAAACAAUAAACUAACUUCCGCUUUCAAGAAGCUGAUGCACUAGGACCACAAAUAACAAGCAUGGCUGACAAUGUAUCUUUCUGACCCAAUAAUCCUGAGUUUCCAGGAUCGCUGCCAUCAGAAUUAAAUUUGAUCUUUCCUAAGGAAUGACAGAACCAAAUAACAUAUAUGCUACUUGCAAAGGGACUCAAUGCAUCCCAUCAUUAUCAUUCUUACAAGCCUCAAAGAUGAACUCUGUGAGGUGGCCAGUCAACAAGCAAAGCAGCAACCUCUCAUGAACUACCACACAACUAAGCUAAAGCAAGCAGCAACAGGUGCCUUCCUUUCUUCUGCCAUUCCUUCCCUUAAAAGGGAAAAUUGGUGGCAUCUUCGUCUUAACCAGAGAGGGCAGCAGGCCCAGUAACUUACGUGCAUAGGAGCCUCCGCCACCUAGGCUCUAUAAACUAAGUGCUAUAUUUUAUAACAAAAAAGUGUUCUUACCCAUGCACUUCAGCUGUAGCCAAACUUGAUAUCCAUAAAUAAUUAAUACAUUUGCUCAUGCAAUGAUACUAGUAUACUGCAUCCAAUAAUUUAGAAAUUAGGCAAAUGACUUGGAAAGUCAACCUAACUGCAGUAAACAUUUCAAAACUUUACAUAUCUAGGAUGACACUGGAUCAAUCAUCAUAAUUAUUAGUGUCCAAUAUCUCCUGUAUAUCCCAGACUCAUAGUCCACAUUCUCAUGUGCCAAAUGGACUGCAAUCCGGUGCCUGAUUCUAGGUUUUAAUUACCAGAACUGCCAGCAGGCACAGGUACAGUAGCAGGAUAGAGAUCUCUCAAAGAAAUUUCGAAAAAGGAAGUAUGAAAGAAGCAAAUAUGAGAGUACAAUUCUAGAGGGGAUACAAAACGGGUCUGGCAACUCUGGGUUGGAAAAAAAUAAAUAAACAGCUAUCAAGUUCCCGGUAGAAAGAACACAUUAACCAAGUCUGUAGGCAAACAAAGUUAUGAUCAAUAUACACAACCUGCACCUUCUUUGCUAAAUAAAAAGAUCAGAUUAUGAGUUCAAACUACCACUCUAGAGGUUGUUGGGAAACAAAUUAAGGAAUAAAGGGUUCUCCAAAUAUAAGCUGACAAAAGAAAAGCUCUUUAAGUUGAAGCUGAUCUUAUAAUGCUUCAAGUAGAGAUAAUGCUAAGAAUUUGAUCUUUCCUAAGGAAUGACUACUUGAUUAGAAAGUAGUGGAUCACUGUUGAAAGCUAGAUCCACAUGAGUGUGUGAUGCAUAGCUAAAAAAAAAGCCAAUAGAUUCUGUUGGAGCAAAAUGAAGAGGUCGAACGAGAUGAGCUGACCGAGCAGUCAAAAUUGGCAUCCACUUUUCCUUGAGGAAGGUGCUUCAAUUACUCAUUUAUGUCAAUGAACUUAAUUGAUUACCUUUGAAUCUUCUCUAGACCUCAUCAUAAAUUCUACAAGUAUGACUUAGGCCCCGUUUGGCAGAGCUUUUGGUGGGCCAGAAAGCAUUUUCUGACCCUUCAAAAGUAUUGGUAUCCGGUACUGAGAUUGCAGACUUUGUUGCGUACUCUUUCAUCUAUAAGCACCAUGAAUUAUUAACCUUCAAUAACACCAAAUAUUUUGCAGUAAAGACACCCCAAAUUUGGGACAUCGUUAUAUUUGCAUCCUCACAAGGGGAUGGCUACUAAAGGGAAUAGGGGAGAAGCCUAGAAUCAAUCACUCCGCAUACCUUAGGAGUUCUAAGUGUAGUAAAUAAUGUCAGAUAUGUAUGUAGGAAGAACAGAUCAGCAUGAAUAAUCAUGUUGAAUAAAGGAAAGGGGAGCAAACCUGUAGACUCAGGCACAACAAAUCAGCAAGCCUCUUUAAGGUAAUCCUUGAAUAAUACUUUGAUACUACCAAAAUAUUCUGGGAAGGUGAAAGAUUUGCAAAUUAAUAAAGUUUAAAAUAAAGUAAAAAUGAAAAAUGAAAUAGAAGAAACAAAAAACUGAGCAUCAAAAUAAAUACAUGUUCAAUGAUUCUCAGUUUUAGAUCUUCCGCUGCCUUGGCACCCAAAGAUCCUCCAGGCAUAUUCUUCUCAUUCUCAAACUCGUUCUUAUACAUCUCCCAAAGACCAGUCCACUGUAUCACCUCCAUGGUAACUAGCUGCUUUAACAGCAGACUUAGAUGGUGGCCCCACAAAGAGAACAGCAUAUAUGAAGAUCUCUCAUCAGGCAAAAUAAUUGGAUAGAAAAAGUGUGAUGAAAGUAAACCAAAGAAUCACGUACCGGAAAUUCGGAAUUUCAGAAAGAUUUUUAUCUUCUAGGGUAGAGUUGAGAAGGCUUGAUUGCAUUGGGUCAUGAGGCGACAACACCAAAAACCAGCAAAUUUUCCUGAGCACCUACAAAGAAAAAUUUGUUCAGAAAGAUAUUGCAAGAUUAAAAAAAGAACAGAAGGUAUUUACCGGAAUCCACUGUGCUGGGUCCUCUUUCACAGAUGGAAUAUCAUAUAUUGCUUUGUAACUACGGCAAAUUUCCAAGUAGUCAUCAUUGUGAGAGUGAUAGCUACACAAAAACAAUGAUCUAAUUAAUAGUUAUCCAAUCAUCAUGGCACCAAAUGUAAAUAAUAUCUUAAAAUCAAAGUAGACUGCACUCUCUAAUAGAGCAUCUAAUAAUCAGAUUGUAAUGCAUAAAUUCCAAGCAAACAAAUCGCCAUAAUAGAACAUCUCAGAAUCAAAUAACAGAUUUCACAAGCACAAGCACGAGUCAAUAUAGAAACACCAGCUCACCCAUUCGUCCAAACUCACAACCAACGAACCUGGGAAAUAUAGAAUUUUGGACUUCAUAGCUAUUCAUUAGAUUAUAAAGGGUGAGCCUUGGAGCAACAGUAAGGUUGUUCUAAUGUGACCUUGGGGUCACAAGUUUGAAACAACAGAAACUGCCUCUCCAUGUGCAGGGUUAAGAUUGCCUACAUCCGAUCCUCCCCAAACCCCACAAUGGCAGGAGCCUCAUGCAUUGGGAUGCCCUUUGAUAUAGCUAUUUAUUAUUUUAGAGUUUUUCAAAAAAAAAAAAACAAAGAAACUAUCCUUACACAUGAUGCCUCCUGCUGAUGCGAUUACUGCAUUUAACUUGCAGAUCUUAAUAAUAAGAAAUGGAAGAAAGAAAGUAAAAAUUAACAUGUCAAAUGUAAUGAGCAAAGGAGUACCAAAGGUUAUUUCGCAUUCAGAAUCAAAAGGGGACGGCUACAUGAAUCAUAUUGUAGUGGUACGAAAGGGAAUCAGUAAUCACCAAUAACAAUAUUCAGUAAACAAUCAGAAAGAAAACAGAGGACAUUAAUUUGAAGUCAACAAAAUAUUCAGUGAUGAACAGUGAAGGCGAAGGAAAAGGGCACAGGUAGAUGCUCGAAUAGCCAAACACAAAAGCCUUUUCUCUUUUUUAUUUUUUCCUUGGGGGAGAAGGGUGGGUGACUGGUUGCCUUGGUCCCAAAAGAAUCAACUCUCCUCAACAGAGAAUGGUUAAACAGCUUACGCACAAAACCUGAUGAGCAAAUAAGCACCACCAUACCGAAUCAUUAGUUCAUAGUAGAUACGCUUCAACUCUAAGAGGGAAGGUAUAUCUGCAGGAGGCUCUUCAACAACAUUAUCACCUUCCUUAGGCUUUUUCUUCUCCUUUGAGGCAUCUGCAUCAAAAACCCGAGGACUAAUUUUUCUUGACAAAAUCUGUGCGCGUACAUAAUCCUGGCGAUCUAAGCACAAACGAACCUGGAAAUUGUUUGAUUUGAAAAUAUAUAUAUAAUAUAUAUAUAUAAGUAAUGGAAUAUGUCAGUCUUGUAACAGUAUUGUCCAAAUUGAGCCAAUGAAUGAAGGUUUAAACAUGAUAUACUUGUUCAAGAAUGAAUGCUAUCUUCUCUGUUUUUGCCAUUGCUCCAAAAGUUUCCACCUGAAGACUAAACAUUCAGUUGACAAAACAAAAUAAAUUGUAUAAUUUUAACCACUAAUUGUCCGUAAUCAAAUACAACAAGAAUCCCAAAAUAAACUAAGUCUCAACGGAAGUGUAAGGAAACAUUUCAGUACAUCAACAUAAAUACAACAAGAAUCCCAGUGUAAACCGAUGGAAUUGUCAUGAGACAUUUCAGCAUCAACUUACAGCAAUUUCUUGCAUCAAAUCAGCAGCCUCAGCAAUAAGGCCUUGUUCUUCUUUAAUCUUCGCGAGUUUUUUUAUCAAGCGUGCCCUCUCUAUCUCGACAUAUAUCUGUAAACAGACAAGAAACCUAAAUUGCAUGUUUAAGUAUAUAAAAUGUGCUAAAGUAGGUCUCCUCUAUGUAUCACAUGUUCACCUUUCCAGCAGAGACACUGUUCAGUGUUUUGAUUAAUUCUAUGCACGUAUCAAUAUCAGGUGUCUCAUCAAUAUAAUGCAUGGCUUGUUGCACCAUAGCAGUGACAGCCUGCAUGCAAACAACCACACAAAAAUAAAUUGAAUAAGUACAACCAAGAAAACCAGAUUAGAGCACUCAAAUGGGGCUUUUCAUAGGCCAACCACAAAAUGGUUUUCAAUGAAGAAAAAUAGAAGAAGUGAAUCACAUAAAUAGUUUAAAUCAGAAAUCCAGUGUCCACCUUUCUUUUUAAUCCUUACUCCACCACAGCCCUAGGUGCCUGCAAAAGUAAACUGGCUCCCGGCAACACAUACUACGUGUCUGCCAGGACCAAGUGUCCCCACAUCCAGCAAUGAGUAAAGAUGGGGAACAAUCCACUGACAUAUAAAUUAAGUUCAUAAACCACCAUGUUUCAACUCUCUAUCUCUAUACUCCCUAUAUAUAUAAUCUGUAUGUCUGAAGUGGUGCACAGAUAAAUAAUCUGUAUGUCUGAGGUGGUGCAAAGGUGGGAUAUUGAUGUUAUAAUUAGGUCGUUUGACACCUGAAAUGUACUAACUACAGGUUAUCAUGAGUUGAAGGGUACAGCUGAUGUCUGUGUUGAAAAUAAUCAUUUGUAGUACAUCCCCUGCAAAGAAAUCCCAAAGAGAAAGAGAGAGAGAAGAGUUGCCCCACAUGGCUAUACUAGCCAACUAAAUAGCACCUCACCUUCAGAUGCAAAUAUUUCUAUGCAAUCACAUAAACCAACUUAGCUUUUUUACUUUUCUUGGGAUGAAGAAAGAAAAGUAAAUCCAGGAGAUGAAUGGCAUUUACCACUAAAAACAUCAGAGCGACUGCAACCCAAUAUAGCUAAUACAUUUCCCCAACAGGCCUUGCAUCCUAACCAGACUCCUCCCAAGCCUCAAGGAUCCUUGCCAUUCUACUACAAAGAAAAUUAGGGGUGCAGGAUCCACUCAAUAUGUUCUCCAUUGAAGCGUCCCCGGAUACCAUCUUGGUACAAAAGUAUCUUUAAUUUGCUCUCAAACUUCUCUUUUACCUUUGAAGGAGGUCUAUAUAAUAGUAUUUUGCAGAAAAGGAGGGCCCGGAAUAACAGAGUAGGAUAUAUUCAACCAAAACUUAGUGUUGCAUCUAGUGCUUUUUCUUACGCUUCACUCUCCUUUCAAUGUCUCAAUGUCUCUUCACAAAAGUGAACGAAAAUAUUUCUUAGGCAUUAGGAAAAGAAAAUAUAUACUAGUUUGUUUGCAUGCCCAAACCCUGCUUCUUCUCUACAAUUGUCUUUGGCAGCUUUUCACUACAAACUACUCUCCUUUCCACGAUAAAUGGCAAACUACCAUUCAACUUAGUAAUCCCUAACUUAUCAUCACAUAAUUACCUGAGUGUACAUUCCCGCAAUCCCACUUCCAAGGUAUACUUGUAACAUCAGGAUCCUCUCAAAGAAAACUUAUAUUACAAUUUUCAACUCUGUUAACCAUCACUUAACUUGUACCAUCAGGCUCCUCCCAAAGAAACCCUGAUUAUAAUUUCCAACUCUCUUGAUUCCCGUAACUCACCAUCCCAACAUGCAGAAAACAUCUCAGACAUUUAUUUGUGAUUUAAGGCCCCUCAAAGAGAAUAAACCUUUCCAAUCUCUUUGCUGCUUUAGAAUGUAAUAAUAAUAAUACACGCAUAUUAAGUGCAGAAAUUGUUAUGGUGUAGCAUACUAGCGUAAAUAGGCCCCAAUAAGGUAGGACAUUUUUAAGAUACCAAUUUCUUAUUCAUACUCUAAAUCAUCAAGGUCGAAGGGAUGCUCUAAUUUAAAGUUAUAAAUAGGUCAAUGAGAGCGAGUUCUUCAAAAUCCCACUCGUCCAUCAUUUUAUCAAAACAAAUGCAGGAUUUGCAGCAGACUUGAACAGACUAACAAGACUAAAAUGCUUCAAGUGACGCAGAAUAUGGUUACGAUGGAUCACAUUGUCAUUCACUAUAACAUGGUAAACAAAAAGUCUGGUGAAUACUAGACCCAUCAAGGCACCCAUAUCUUCGUGCACUAGAUAUCCCCUCCAUUAUAUGUGAUUCAAUAUGGACAGUAAGGACCCUUGAUCUUAAAUAGAUAAAGCUUUUUAAGAAGUCCUGGGAAUAACUACUUAGAUCAUAUAAAAAUACGAGGACCUACAGUGAGGAUAGUAUAAAUCCCACUAGUUGCACCCAAUAUCACAUCUAUCCAGCACUAUAAAUGAAAUAUUGUCUCAUCUUGCCAAAUUCCUUUUUUAUAACAACUUUGCAAAAGACAUGACUUUCUUCCCUUCCAAGAAAAUACUACAUUCUAUAUGCAUUGCUAUCCUAUCCUCGGAUCUAGUUCUCUGCAUUCCUUUGUUUGAUACAUAUUUUCUACCAUUUCAACCUUGUGAUGAUUUUGGGCAAAUGUGCUUUGCACUGAUAAAAAUCUAACAGUGAACAACAUAAAUACAUAACAUGCCAACAUACGUUAUACUUCAUAACAAAGCUGAGGCACCUCGGUGACCUUAAAUUUUGAUAACCCAGGAACAUGCAAAGAAGACAUACUAAAAACAUAGUUCACCUGCAUCUAGAACUGCACUUUUGAUUGUACAUACUUAUGAGCUAACAAAAAUAUCAUCAAGGUGGUUUUGCUGCACUAGGUUGGCCAGUAUCAAAGGAAAAAAGAAUUCCAAAUGUAGCCUGCUCUAGCAAUUCGAUAAAUUAGAUCUAUUUAAACUCAGCAAGAAACAAAUUUUCCAAACACUUCACCUGCUUAAGCUGGCCCCUCCUUUUUGACAGAAGAACUAUCUGGUCGUUCAGAGUCUUCCAUGCACGGGCUUUGUAACAAAGCUCCACAAUGUCAGUAACAGCUUUCUUGGUUCCGGCAACAUCACCAGCAAGCCUCAUUUGCUUCUCAACAUUCAAGAGGGACUCUAUCGCAGCAUCGAGAUUCUCUUCCUGCAUCAAGCAACUAUGAUGUCAGAUUCCUACAUAAGGAAGCAAGCAAUCAUCUGGUACUGAAAAUUACGGUAUAAAUAUCUAAUACCACUAACGAUAUAUUCACAAAUAUCAGUAAUACAAUAGUACAAUGGUUCAUAUUAUAUAGAAUAGAAAUUAUUUAAAAAAUCCGAAGAUACUACAAGUAUAGAGAACAUUUAACAUCUCUAGAUUCCUCCUGUUUUCACGGAAUUUUUACACCAAGAAGCAAAACUUCCUUCAUUGUUCCCCUCUUCCAACAGGACUGUGCCUCUUGAUUCAAUUGAUCGAAACCUAAUGCAAAUGCCAUGUUGGGAUCUUAUAAUUGACAGACUUAUACGCAUAAAGCUUGGUUUCUACAAUAAACCAUGGAACAACGAUUUCAAGAACAGAUUGGACAAACUGAGGGCGAUCACAAAUCGUAGUCGUAUUCAGGGAUCCAAGAAAUCAAAAGGCGAGUCCCUCAUUAAACAGAAAGAUAGACUAAGAGAUCAAGAUGUCGAAGAAGCAGAGACGUUCACCAUCUUUGAAGCGAUUGCGUGACGACGAGGAGAAACCCUAGAGAGAGAGGCGGAGACUUGGGCUGGAAGACAGAGGGUUCUCUUCCCAGCUCCUGAGUGCUGCCUCGUCUCCAAGGGGAAGGGUUACAAAGUUUAUUUGUUUUAAAUUAAAGCGGCCGAUCGGGUCGGAUCAUGGUCCAAGCUAGGCCCGGAUCAAGUUUAGACACGUCCCAGCCGUUCGCUUGGAGGAUUUUGUGGGACACAGAACGAGAACCUCCAAAUUGACAUUUGUCCGGCCCAAUUGAAUGCACCAAGGAGGCAGGCCAACGCAAUCGCUGAGGGAGACCUAGAGGACCAGGUAGAUGGUUGAGCACGAGGGUGGAGACGCCUAGGUAUCACCCAAAGGCAAACAGGGCAGUAAAUUGGAUGGCUUCUUUUUAUCAAUCGAUAUGAUGUUUGAACCGAUGCAAUGUUUAGCUAAAGAAUUUUUCUAAAUCUGCUAUUUUCUAAUUCUUUUAGAUAUAUUCAAGCAUGUAGAUUGGAUGGCCUUUUUUGUAGUUGAUCACUUCAGUAGAAUAUUUUAGACCGAUACAAUGUUUGCUUAGAGAACUUUUCUAAUUCUGUUAUUUUGUAAUUCUCUUAUAUAUGUUCAUAUUAGAAUAGUAUGGAGCAUAUAGAUUGGAUGGUCUUUUUUUUUUUUUGUGGUUGAUCACUUUGGUAGAAUGUUUUAGAUCGACGCAAUGUUUGCUUCGAGAGCUUUUCUAAUUCUUUUAUUUUCUAAUUCUCUUAAAUACAUUAAUACUAGAAUGGUAUAGAGCGUCUGGAGAGAUCGGCAUCGGCAACAGCGGCGGGGCAUCUGCGUUGGCCUAGUGGAUGGUCCAAAAAAUUAAAGUGUUUGUUUUUCAGAGAUCAGCAGAGGUUUGCAGAUUUAGAAUGCAUCCAAAGCUGCACACAGCAGCCCUCGUACAGACACGAAAUCACAAGCGACUUUGACGACAGUAGAGAGAGUUCGACAUUUUUACCCUCUUUCCAUCUAUGGCCUUGGUUGCACUGCAGUGGUCUGAACCGAUCUGCUCUGCUCUGCAAUUUAGUCUCUUGAUCUCACUCACUAACAAGCACAGGACAGUUCAUUGACCCUUGCAACAUCCAAUGUUAUUCUCUAUAACCAAAUCUAAAGCUCACCGAUUCUAAAAUACAUGGUAUAUCAAGUGUUACAAGUCACUCCAAGAAAGAAUAACUAGUCAAACCAAAUAUAAGCUCCCACAAGAAUUAUUUCUCCUUACUAAAUUCGAAGCUACGAAACACUUCAUAAAACAACCAAAGCAAGUGUAUAGUACCUGAACUUGGACUGGUAGUUGUACAGACGCAUCACUAGACAAAUCUCAAAGGUAUAUACAAUAUCAGACUAAAUAAAAUAAAUAUACAACAUGGGAAUACAAAGUGUUCCGUUUGAGCUAUUUUGAAAUUUUCCCCUUUCAAAAUGGAAGUCACAAGCAACAGACUUGAGGCAGAUAAUGUCCCUUCAGUGAAAACUCAAACUGCAACCAAGCAAUAUUGGACUUAUUCCCUGCCAAUGUAUCACAACACCAAAAAUUAGAAUUCAUUAUUUUUUCAAUGCCAAACCAAAAACAGAAAACUAGCAAAGGAGAGAAAGGAGAGGUAACAUUCUAAAAAGUAACAUUUCUAGGAUGUCUUAAAUCGAGCUUGAUUUCCUUGAUCUUGGUCCCCAAAAGUCAUGUUGAAUUGGUAAUGGAUUAUUUUAAUGUUAAGAGUUCUAAACAUCUCAUUCAUAGUGCAAAAGAGCACAUCUCAAGCAGGUUGGUAUUGCCAAUGACAAUUGAAACUAAUCAGCAAAUACCAUCACAGCUUCAAAUUUAAACUAUUGAACAGUCUAUGAAAAGAAAUAAGGAUCCAUGACCAACCAAAAGUUUGAUACAGUGAAACUUCAGGAGUACACACCCUACAGGUUGACAUGAUACUGCAAGAUGGGAUUCUGACAAAAGGUCAUCUUAGGUCCAUGCAAUUUGGUCCUGCAUGGAAGAUAAUAGAACUAUGAUUUAGAUUCUGACUGGAAGGAUUGGGGACCAUGUCCGCAUCUUCUUCUUUUUUUUUUUAAAAAAAAAGGACCCAAUUAUGACAACCAGCACAUUAGCUUUUGAAAUAAGAUUGCUUUUGGUAAGCCAAGCAUAUGAUAGCAACAGAUUUCCAAACUGAUAAAGCAAUUUAUGCCGAUCAAAAAAGAACAGUUGAACAUAGAUGUAGUAUAGGAUGAGGAACCGUGAAGAUGGCAGAUUUAUAAAUGGCAUUAGGAGACUUCACCUGAUGAUAUUGAUGCCUUAACACUUAACAGCAGAUAUCAGAUGGAAGAAACCACAGCGAAAGGCCUCAUCUUUGUCAUAAUUAAAUGUUUGAUACCUAAGGAGGAUACCAGUAUUUAAUAUUACAUCUUCCUUAGGUAUAAAUCAGAAUUUUGGAUUCAUAAAACUUUUUUCGGAUAGAAUUGCGGACUGAAAGAGUGAGAAGCCAUAUAACAUUUUUUGCAUCGCUUAGGAAAAUUGACAGAAUACUGAACUUUAAAUGAAAAACAAAUUUUAUUUUGCAACUGAAAGAAUGUCUUAUCACAAGAUAAAUGAUUCACCAAAGUGAACUGCAUAUAGUAGUAUAUACAGCAGUGCACUGGAUUGUGAUAUAAGAGAGAGAGAGAGACCGCUAACAAAAAAAAAAUCAAGAAUUAUCACAACUAUCCAAAGUCAAGUUGCAAAAUGGUUUGUAAUGAGUUGGAAUUUGAAAUGAGAACAUAAUCAAUUGAUAGUACAAAAUCGUCAACUGAUCAUUUAUCAAAACCAACCAUAAUGCAAAAGUAUUAAUCCUCAUUUCCAUGUUUAGAACCUAUCUAUCUUAGGAAAGGUUGAAGAAAUCACCUAUUCUAGUUUCAUUAUAUGCAUGUGCAUAACAUGAGGUUUAUAUGCAAGACUGCCAUGUCGCUGAAACAGCUCAUCAAUUCUUUUGCUCAUAUCUCCAACAACUCUAAAUUAAUUGGAAAAAAAGGCAAGUUGCAAAAGAAACAAGGUGGUUAUGAAACCCAAUAGUUUAAGUGGGGUUUGGGAGGGGAGAGCAGGGUGGAGAACACAGAUCAAUGCUGGAUGUAGGCUUACCUUGAGAACCAAAAGCAAAAAUUCAGGGCUUGCUUGGCAUUUUCUUUUUCAAAAAAAAAAAGAAAUGUGGACUAGACUGAACAACAAGUGCAAUGAAAUGCUUUUUUUUCUAAGUUUUUUGUAAAAUCUUUAGAGCUUUUGGCAGCUACGAUUUAUUGCUUUAAAAAAAAGAGAGCGGAAAUAAAAGCAAGGAGUAGCAUAAUUUUUGCAAGUGCUAUCUUCACCAUCAAGCUGCAUGUGGUAUUUCACUAAUAUGUAGAGAAACAAAGCCACAAAAUCAACAAUGAUACCAAACAGUUAGUAAAUUUUUGAUAAAGAAGGGAGAAAAAGGUGUCUAGAUUUUAUGAAGAACUGAAAGGUGAUUAUGGAUUUCAGCAAGAUCAAUAAUCAAAUUAUCCUACAGUCUAGGAAUUAGCUGAAUAACAGUCCAUGAAUCUCAGACAUGCAUAAAAUUUUCACAAGGAUAAAUUACAUUUUUGUUUCGAUCCGGUAUACUAGUGCUGGUAUGAUCACAAUGUGGAUGAAUUACAUUUCACACAAAAGAUUUAAAACUUACAAGCAUACCAAAACCUUCAUAAGUGCAGAAUCCUCUGAAGCUAUAAGAAACCCAAACUACAAGCAAAGGAUGACACUAACAGAAAAUCAACAAAAUAUCCUACCAGGAGAAGCCAGGUCUGCACAAAUUCCUAGGUUUGACCAUCCUGCUUAAUCCCAGAGGUUGAAAUAGCUAGCGAGGGAAAUAAGGACAGAGGAAAUCAAGCUUUUAACAGUAGAACUUGAACCAUGAAACCAGAAAUAAGCAACUAAAGUAGAAUGGAAAGGCAAAAGUGGAGAAAAUAACCAAAGAAAAUUAAUUGUCUGAAAAUAUUACGUGCAAGCAAGGAAAAACAAGGAAUCUUAUAUUUUUUGAUCCGAUUGGAUCCAUGAACCCAGAGAAGGAAGGGGACAAGGAAGAAAGCUGAAGACAGAAUCCAACCCAAAAAAAAGAAAGCAAUGAGAACAAGAACAAGAACAAGGGUACCUGAAACUAUGUAGCUUAGAAAAUCGAACAUUUUAAAGCCCAUUAAUGAAAACAAAAAAAUGAAGUUUUGAUUAGAAAUUAAGAGUAGGACGAUAAAUCUAGAAAAGAAAACCUUUUGCAAGGGCAAGGUCAAACCAUAGAGAGAGAGGGCUAAAAACAAGAUGAAGAACAAGAAGAACGAGAAGGCUACCGAUAGUAUGCAAAUAGCAGUAGCAUAUUAAAUAUCUCUUCAGAUUCAUUAAAACCACUGAAAUUAAGGGGAAAAAACAAAAUUUUUGAGACGAAAUUGAAAAUAGAAAAGGAAAACCUGCGAACCACAGAGAGGGAACACAAACAAAUACUAACCAUCAGCAAUCAAAUACUUGUUCAUCAAAGCCCGUCAAAGAACAAAAAAAUCCAAGCCUUCGACAAAAAAUCAGUGCUAGAACCAUGAAGCUAAAAAACAAAAGAUAUUGCAAGGAUAAAAUCCCAAACAAAGAGAGAGAAUCAGAAGAAGAAUAAAGACGACAAUAAAACCUCCGAUACCAUGAAAACAGCCAUAGGAAAUAAAAUAUUUGUCCAAAUCGAUCAAAAACCAAAAAUAAAAGGAAAAAAAAAUCUAAAUGAUUGACAAGAAAUCACAACUAGAACCAUCAAAUUAUGAAAAAGAUGCCUUUUUGCAAAGGAAAUCAAACAGGAAAGAUGGCGAGGAGCAUACCAGAAGAAGGGAUCACCACCAGCCAUUAACCACCAGGGUGUAUCUAUCCUUGAGCCACCGGAAGCUCCUCCUAAGAGACCCCUUCACCCUCCCCUCGACGGCGUAGAGCUUGUAGCUCGCCACCCGCUUCUUCCUCUGGAACUCCGGGUCGCUGAAGACCCACCCCUUCUUGGAGGAACCGGAUGCCGCCUUCCCCUUGCCCAACUUGACCUCCCUGGUACCGUAUCCAGCGUAGCCGCUGCCUGGGUGGGCGGAGGAGGCGGAGGACGCGCUGUAGCUCCUCAAAUCGUAUACGCCGGAAGGGGGAGGGGGCGGCCGGCCGCCGUAGGCCCCAAGCUGCAUCCUUCCGUCGUUGUGGCCCCUCGAUCUGAAACCCUCCAUGGCAGCCAAGACCAGCCCUUUCCCUCUCCCCCUCCGUCUCGCUCUGGAGGGCGUCUUCGGUCUAGACGAGAGGAGGGCGGACGUGCGAACAGGGGAAUGUCGGAUGAUUUUUCUUUUUCCACCCUCUCAGCUUUUUUUUUCGCUUUUUCAUUUUUUUAAAUAAAAUACAGUAACGCCCUCAACUUGUGGGCAAAAUACAUUCUCUCUAAAAAAAAAUUUGAAAACUUUCAGGCCAGCUAUAUAUAUAUAUAUAUAUAUAUNNNNNNNNNNNNNNNNNNGCUAUAUAUAUAUAUAUAUAUAUAUGCUAAAAAUAGACAUUUCAUAUAUCACGGAUAUGAAUAUACCCAAUAGAAUCGAAAUACAAAAGGUUCCGAAGUGCUCCGACCAUCUCUCUCCCUAGUUCAUAUGGUACCUCCAGAGUGACUCGCUACAUAUGUAACCACCCAAUCGACCGCUCCAUUGGCCUCACGAUAUACAUGCAUAGCCUAAAAUAUGACAUCCUCCCUUACCAUCAUUCAAAAAUCGCGGAGCAGGGGAUGAGCUCCUCCAUGACUACUCGAGUCCCUGUGGAUCCAGCUAAUCGCCGUGGUCAAUUUCAGACAACAUUUUGUUGCUUCAGGAGAUGAUGGGGGAUCUGCAGUGAGCCUCGAGAAGGCGAAGUCUGAUGGCAGUGAAACUGGAUAUGGAGCGUGCCUAUGACCAGAUCCAGUGGGAUUUUCUUCGGCGGCACUAGAGAGUUUCGGAUUCCACCAGAAUUGGAUUGCUUGGAUUCUAGGAUGUGUGCGGGGCCUAGCUUUUCCAUUUUGGUCAAUGGCACACCAUUACCCUUCUUCCGAGCCACUAUGGGGCUUCGCCAGGGAUGCCUUAUGUCCCCGUAUUUAUUUAUCAUUUGCUCUGAUUUGCUUUUCCGUGCUUUGCAUGUUGCUUGUGGGAACCGAGAGCCGGCAGCCUAUAGUCCAAGUCCGGGUGCCCGCCCUAUUUCUCAUUUGCUAUUUGCAGACGAUUGCCUCUUACUCACUAGGGCAAGGGUGACGGAUGCCAGAGCCCUUCAAGGCAUGUUGACAGAGUAUUGUGUAUGGUCUGGGCAAAGAGUCAACCUCCAAAAGUCAGUCAUCUACUUCAGACCGUGCACGGAGCGGAGGGUGCGACGGGAGAUCAAGGCGAUUCUAGGCAUGUAGGAGCAAGAGGGGCCCCUAGUUGAUCUUGGGGUUUCCAUCACGGAAAGAAGGUUACAGGUGGUAGAGUGCUCUACUUUGUUGGAGAGGGUGCGGAGCAGACUAGAAGGUUGGAGGGCAUCAUCACUCUCUAUAAUAGGUAGAUUGACACUGAUCAGGUCAGUUCUGUGCUCUUUGCCCAUUUAUCUGAUAGCUCAUACAGUUGUGCCGAAUACUGUACUGGAGGGGAUUGAGCGGCUUAUGCGGAGUUUUCUUUGGGGCUCUUAUAGGGGGGCCACGGGAUACACCUGGUGGCCUGGGAGAGAGUAUGUCUGCCACUGUGCGAGGGUGGUUUGGGGGUGCAGUCACUCUUGGUGAGGUGUGAGGCUUUCUUGGCGCGACGAGCGGUACAGUUUGUCUUGCAGCCGCACAGUCUCUGAAGUCAGGUCAUAACGACUAGAUAUGGCCAAGCAGGAUUCGCUGAGCAGGCGACAGCUUGCCGGAGGAGGUCCUUUAUAUGGCGAGAGGUUGGGAGAUACUUGUCUAUGGCCCUGGCGAAUUAUAGGUGGCUGAUCAGCGAUAGACAAAGCAUUGAUGUGAUGGAGGACUCGUGGGUGGAUGCACUUUCUUUGAGACUAUGGCCGACGAUGCUCAGUGCUGGGGGGGUGGCAGGACUUCGGGUUUCUGACAUGUUCAGGCCGAGGGAGGCGGAGUGGGAUGGUGAUAGGCUGGGCCAGUUCUUUGGAGAGCAUUUGGCAGAGCGGGUUCGAGCGCUCCCCAUUCUGGGAUCCCCAGGUCCAGAUGUUAGGAUUUAGAGUACCACCUGUAGAGCCAGCAUUGGGAUUGGCGAGGUUCUUGGGUUCUUCAGCCGGGUUUAGAGCUGGGCAUAGAUUGUGGCUGGGUGUGGAGGUUUGGGCUACACCAGAGGGUUGCUCUCUUUCUCUGGAAGGUGGCUUGGGAGUGUUUGCCAACGUGCUUAGUGUAAAGUAGAUGAGGCGUGAGACUUUAUCCUCUACACCCGGAUUGUGGAGUGGACGAGUCGGUGGAUUAUGUACUAUUCCAGUGCGUGUGAGCGAGAGGUGCUUGAAGUUUGACUGGGAUCUCGAGAGAUGUUUGGAGUGGGAGGGAUUGUUUUCUGGAGGAGGUUCGGCGUUGGGCUGGUGUUCUUUAGAUACGUCUUUCGGCUAUUAGGGCGUCUUGUACAGCAUAUCAGCUAUGGUUGGCUAGAAAUGCCCGAGUUUUUGAUGAGCGCAGGUCGUCCCCAUGUUUCGUGAUGGAGCAGGCUCGCGCUCAGAUAGCAGAAUAUAUCCAUGCAGAAUCAGCUCAUAGACCUUUGACAGCUUGGGACAUUUGGGGCCCCCACAUUGCUUCGGCAGCUCCACAUAGGGUAUUCUUUACUUGGGAGCUCCCACCUCCGAGUUUUCUCAAGGUCAAUUUUGAUGGCACUGUCUUGGAUGAUGGUAUGAGAAGAGAGGCUGGAUUUGUCAUCAGAGGCCCGGGUUCCGAUGCGGUGGCAACAGGGGCUGUUAGAUGUUUGAUACCUUGGUUCCGAGGGCAGAGCUGCGGGCAGCUUGGAUAGGUCUGUAUUACGCACGGCGGGUGCUUCAGGCGAGUUCAAGCCACCCAUAUUCCAUAUAUAUAUUGUUAAUUUUAUAUACACCGGUUAUCUACUUAACCGGUCAAACAAGUGCCAAAAAUCAUGUGUUAAUUUUAUUUUGUGUCAAUGUCCUAAAAAGUAGUUUAAUCAGACAAAAUUGAUCUCGGAUGAGGAGUUGAAAUAGAUUUAAUCCUUGGAAUAUUCUCAUUUCGGUAUACUUUUUCACUUUUCUUCACAACUUAUCCUGCUAACCUUUGAACGCCAACCAAAUAGCAAAUAAUUUUAAUCCAUGAUUAUCUAAUUAGGGUUGGUUAUCAAUAGCUAAAAGUAUCUACAUCCAAUUAGCUAUUUGGGAGCCAAACAGGGUCUAUACAUACGUCAUGAGGAUGCUACUAGCAUUGAGAGAAAUACUGAAAUAUAAUGAGUAGUGACAUGGGCCGUUGCUUACAUCGCAGCCCCCCUUGCCUAUUCAUCCAACCCAAUGGCAUAAUCUUAUAAGCGUGUGAAAUGCUAAAAUAACCCUGGGAUCUCAUACAAACAAGUUACUUAACGUGUAACAUCUUGAUUGGUCUGAGGACCGUUUGCAUUUAUGACUAAGGACCAGGUGAAAAGCUAGGCGUGUAUUUGUGUUUCUGUAGCACUGCUCUAGAAAUCUGAGGGAGCUCUGUUUGAUUCACGUUCGGAAUCAAAAUCGUAGUGGGUUAGAAUGAAAAUCGAAAUAAUCAUAUUCCUCAACGCAUUUGGUUCGUGAGUCCGAAUCAAAAUAGAAUUUAAAAUAUUAGGAAGAGUCUAGAUAAAUUUUGGAGAAUUGGAGCAUUAUGUUCUCCUUUAGAAUUGAAAUGGGGAUGAGACUUUUCCUAACCAAAUAGCUGAAAUGAGAGUCACUUAUUGCUAUUCUCAUUCCACAUCUCAACUAACUCCGGCCAAACAUGCCCUUUCACAUGCAUCUAUUAUAAAUCUUAGGAGAUUCCAAUUCUAAAUGGUUACAUGUUUGAGUUUUAUAAGCAGUUAAUCCAAACAUUACUCCCCAACAAAAGCAAUGGAAAUGGUUUCUCAUUGCACAUCCCAACUCCGUCCGACUAAACAUGCCCUUCACAUGCAUCUAUUAUAAAUCUUAGGAGAUUCCAAUUCUAAAUGGUCACAUGUUUGAGUUUUAUAAGCAGUUAAUCCAAACAUUACUCCCCGACAAAAAGCAAUGAAAAUGGUUUCAUAUGUGAAGGCAUAUGCUCCAAACCAAGAUUUAAUGUAUAAAAAUACAAGAAGGGCCCAGAUCAGUCACCCAUAUUCAUGCACCAACUAAUAUGGGACAAUUGAACACGAUGGAAAAAAAAUAAUAUGUGCCCCUCCUCUCUAUUAAUUUGCUAUUGGUCAGAGCACAUGUAACUCCAUAUCUCAAACCUAACUAAAAUAGCACAAUUACAUAGCAAUAGAGUUGAUCAUGGGCAAGACCUCGGACUAAACUAUAUUCAUUUUUAGUUUGGUUUUGGGCUGGGUUUAUUGAAAAAUUGAUAUUUUCUGCGCCUAAGCCCAACCUUUGAUCAUCUCUACUUGUCAAGAAAACAUUGAUGCAUUCAUCCAUACAAGACAUCGUUUGUCAUGGAAGAUGAACUUGGCUGGGUGAGUGCUAAUACUCCAGAUUUUUCUACCAAAAACGAGUUUUUAUUAAACACUUGUAAGUCCAAUCUGCGCAUGGAUUUGCUGUCGCCUUGAUUUCUUUUUCUCCCGGUUCAUCUUCCCCAGAUUAAGUUGCCAUUAACAUUGAUCCUUGUUUGACCCUGGGUCUAGGACUUGACAUGGUGCAACUUAUAUAUAAUUCCCAGGCAAGUUUGCUAUAGCUUUAGAUUUUAAUUUGGACCUGAGUGGGUUGGAUUUUGAAUUUGGUUCGAGGGAAUAUGGCAUGGAUCAGGUGCUAGCUAGGGUUGCAUAAGAUUUGGGUGGAGUUGGACUCAACUCAAUCACAACAUGGGUCCAAAAUUCUGGUCAAUGCAAGAUUCGAUUAAUCAGCGAAUACACCAGAGAAGAUGGACUGACUGUGUUAGUCACCGAGAAUAAGAGUUUUUUCGUGGAAAAUUCCUCUUGUUGAUGGAGGAAGCAGAUGGAGAGACAAAUUUCCAUAACUUUCUUUUUCUCCGUCUUCUUCAUUGUCUGCUGUUUGUUUCCUCUAACAUCAUCUUAGAAUGCUGUUUGUUUCCUCUAACAUCUUCUUAGUAAGGUAGGAUAGGUAAAAUAAGUCUGAAAAGGCAUUUUCAGAUAUGAAGUUACCAAAUUUUUUAAUAAAAACUCUACUAGCAAAAGUUCUACCAUUCAAACUGUCGCAAAUAAAAGCUCUACUAUAUAUAAUGAUACCUAAUUGGUUCUUAGGAAGAUAGAUAAGAUCGGUUUCAUGCGCAUAUAUGUUACAUCUUAUGCAUGACAUGUGGCUCUUUUCCCUCUUAUUCUACUAGUAACAACUUGCUCUGAUUCUUUAGCCAGAAAAUUUUAGGAGUUUUUCCCUCUGUUGGGUGGAGCUACCUUCCUGUUUGCACCUGUCACAGUGUUGAUGACAGAUUCAUACAAUGAGCAUAAACUUGGUAUCAUUGACUGGCUCCUCUGAGUUAGCAGUUCAACUUCUUGUAAUUUCUUUAUUAUCCUGGCCGACUGGCAAGCAAGGGGGGCCUAUACAAUUGAUUCUUAGAGGUUAGUCUUCAUAUCAUCCAAGACUAAUGUAUAGUCUAUGUAGAAAAAGAUAGUGGCGUAUUCAGAGCAUAUUAUGCUUGAUUCAACAGUCAUAGGAAAGUCCAUGCUAAUUUCUUUCGCUGUAUUUUUGCCACCAAUUUCCAACCUAAGGUCCUUGAUAGAAGCUUCACUCAUGAUACUCUGACUGGGCCAAAGUUGAAGGGAGUCAAGUUCGAGCAGUCGAUUCUCCGACUGGGCCAUGCAAUAGAGCACAAAGUCAAGAUAGACGGCCAUCAAACAAGACAGCCUCAAAUGUCAUACAGGCUUUGUUUGAAGGCCAACCAUAUCAUAAAAAUGGCUAUCAAGUGUUGCAUAGUAUUCUUCGGUCUAAAUAGCAUACUGUAGAGAAUUAUAGGUCGUUCUUGUUGCACCGGGGAAGUAAGGAUGUUUAGAUGAGCAGUUCUAUUGCAUUAAAUAAAGGGAAUCUUUAGGAUGGUCUUUGGUUGAAGGUGCUUGGAGAUUUUUCGUUUCCAACCAUGUACGCUUCUCAAUCACUGUCUAUCAUAUGUGGUUCACUCUUUCCAUGCAUGACACAUUUUUUCCAAAGUGUGCUGCGUUAGAAAUUGGGUACGAGUCAAGAUUCUGAUAUACUUUUUGUACAUUGUCUAAGGUGAAAUAAUUAAUACAGUCUUAAAGACUUAAGCUAUAAUAAAUUAAUAUUGCAACUAUUAAGUAGCAAGCCAAAGCUUUAGGGCAGAUAAUUCAAAUCAAUGUCUAUGCUUAAUGCACCUAUAUAAGGGCAACUUAUUGGCCAUCCAUUGCUUUUCAUCUAUAUUGUCAUAAUCCGUGCAAACAUGUGUUUAGUCCUACAUCGGUUAUUCACUGAAUAAAUCUUGAUAUUUAUACAGAAUCAAAGAAUCCAAAUAAUACCUUUCGGCUAGUCAUUUUGGAUGAGAUUUUGGAAUUUGAAUUCUUAGCUUAACAGGAACGUCAGAGCUUGAGCGAAGAAAAUAUGUUAGAUUAAGAAACUUAAAUAAUAUCUUCCGACUAGUCAUUUUGGAUGAGAUUCUGGAUUCAUAUUCACUCUCCUAGAUCUAUCUCUUUUUUCUUUCAACUUUUUUCGCUAAGUAUUUUUUGAUUUUUUCAUUAAAAGAAAGAAAUUACGGUCAAAUGAAUCCCAACCGUAAAAAGGUAUCCGCCAUAUUGAUCUACAUUUUGUAAGGGACUGCCCACCGGCUGCAUGUAGUCAAAAAAAAAAAAGGGGGUAAUUGUUUAGUUAAAAAAUAACAAAGUAAUUGCAGUGGAGAAGGUAAAGUCAUGCUAUAAUUAGGGGAGAAAAAUCCCCCAAACUUGUCAUCAGACCUAUUACAUGCUUAUAAGUUUUUCCAAAAUUGAUGGUUAGAACGCAAGUGAUCAACUGGACAUUGAAUGGCAGAGAACGCGGCUUGGGCAAAUUCACGUUUGAUGUGUUGUCGUGUUCCACGUGCUCUGUAGGUAUCUUUUUUUUUUUUCAUUAACAAUGGAUAAUUACUCGUCGCUGUGUUUGAUAGGUAUCCCUUGAUGCAACCCCUCAGCAACUUAUUUCUUGUAUAGCCCAAUACAAUUUUUUUUCCUAAAAUUAACUAUUUCUAAUUAAGUCUUGUUUUUAUUGUUGAAGCUUUAAAUAAUUACUAAGUAGCAAAAAUAUCAAAAUCACAAAGGUUUAAAAAUAAAAGAGAAUUCUUAGUAAAAACUUGUCUUACCAUGAAUAUCGAUUAAGAAACUUCUCAAAUCCUUCUUUAUCAAUAUGGUAGUAGAAAGGACGACAUUAUUUUUUGUGUGCAUGAUAAUAAGAAAACUUCAUUAAGACUAGAAGAUAUAACCACAAACAUCGGUUCGGAGCUUAUUUUUUGAAUCAAGGGAAAAAUCAUCAGGCCCCUAAAGGACUAGCACCCGAUCUCAUAAAUACGAUAAGCUCGUACAAUUAUAUUCUUGAUUGCUAAGAAGUUGGGCAACUCAAAACCAUUUUGUCACCAAAAUAAUUCUAGCAUUGUUCCAUUUCUAUGGCCAACCAAUCAUUACCAUGGUCAAAACUCAGGAGCUAAAAUCUAGAGAAGCAAAUACUACACCUAGGCUUACACAUAAAUCACUCAUGUUAUGCGAACAAGAUUUGGUUCGAAAUUAGAAUUGGAAUGAAAAUCGGAGCAAUUAUAUUUCUCGAUAUAUUUGGCUCAUGAUUAAAAUUGAAAUCAAAAUCAAAAUAAAAUUUGACUACUUAAAAAAAUAGAGAUUUGAUUUUGAAAAAUUAGAAUAUUUUUAUUUCUCAAAUUAGAAUGAGAAUGAAAUUCUUUGCAAUCAAAUGGCUGGAUUGAAAGUCUUUUGUUUCUAUUUGUAUUUUAAGUCUAAAUCCUCCUAUUUAUUCAAACGGCCGUCAGAACCGUAGUUUGGUACUCGACGUGCCUCAAAAUUCUAGAGAAAGAUUGAGAUUGAUGGCACCUGAUCCUUUACCUAAACAGGCAGGGGCAAUUCGGUAAGACCAAAAGCUCCCUCCAUCCGUAUUUUCUUUGACAGGGCCAAUUCGGGAAUACUAAAUCCGGAGCAAGGUGUCCAAUUCGUCCAAUUCGGGAGAGAGAAGGUUGUUUUCUUCCCGCAAGGAGCACGAGCGAGAACAAUAACCGAUCAGGAAGGCCAAGAGCUCCCUCGAGCCCUCAACGAGGGUCCAAAAUACUAGAGAGAGAGAAGUUUGCGAUGUAUGUACGCGGACGCUUGGAGGAUAAGCUGAUAAGCUUCGCUGGGCGGCAUCUUUCGUCCCUCCUCCGUUCCCAAGAAGGCUCUCCCACGUCACGACCCGACCUAAUUUAGAGAGAGAAACGAAACCCAAAAGAAUAAGAAAGCCCAACAAAAGGAUCGGAGAUAGGCUAGAGAUAGAGAGAGAAAGAAGUCUUAUAUUGUCCGCUAUUGAGAAACCGUGAUUUCGAUUGGAUUGAAGCGUGCGUGGGGGCUGCAUUCAUCACCCCUUUCCCCUUCCCCUCCUCCCUCAGUCUCCCCCUUUUCCUUCUUUCCUAAUUCCAAUUUCGUGGAGAGAGACCCUAGUAGUUGAUCCUUGUUUUGGCGGUUCCGAUCUUCUUUUCGUCACGUAUUUCGUCUUUGUUCUUUGAUCGAUCGACUGGGCGAUGCGAGUCGGCCUGUUUUCUUGUUUUCCUGAGUAAUCGGUAGGGAUUCGAGAGAUCGGAAGGGGUUUCGUUAUUUUUUUUGGGAUUGCUGGGUUUUUCCCUUUCUUUUUCGUUGUAAAAGUCUGAUGUUUUAGGGUUAGGGUUUCAAAUUGAGGUGGGCGUUUCUUGAAUCUGGCUGCGGCUAUGGAGCCUCGCGUGGGGAACAAGUUCCGGCUCGGUCGCAAGAUCGGGAGCGGGUCUUUUGGGGAGAUCUAUUUAGGUAUGUACUUGGUUUUAAUUUGGAUUUGAGUUUAGUACCUUAAAGGUAUUUUUGAUUGUUAUUUGUUCGAUAUUUGCAGGUACUAAUGCCCAAACGAACGAGGAGGUUGCCAUUAAACUCGUGAGUAUUACCUCUGGACAGACUUUGGCUUUUGGAUUAGGUUUAUUUUUGUUAUUCGUGGUGUAAAUCAGUUGAUCGCUAAAUUUAUUUGCUGGAAAAGAAAAUUGUUAGAGUUGAUGAAAUAAUUGGCCUGUUGUUUUAAUCGCUUUCUGUCCACUUGCACCUUCUUUUUUCCCCCUCUCGCCUAAUUUAUUAUUCCUUCUUAGUUGGACCUGUUUAGCAUAGGUCCUUGGUUUUCGUUGAAAUUUGUGGGCCUUUUCACAAGUUUUGCUGGGGCUCAAAUGAUGCAGAUGUAUUCUUUUUGUUGAUUUUCAUCAUAAGAUGUGUAAAGAAAUUCAUAAGGAACCACCAUCAUAAUCAUAACCUUCACUACCAAACCAUCACCGUGUCUCGACCUUUGCGUUGGCUUUAUGAAUCUUUAUAUACCAAUAUUUUCUCUAAGGACCAAGUCUAAGUGCAAAAUAUUUCUGUAAGCUGAAAUUGCUUUCGUAGUUUCCCAACUAUAAUUAAAGUAUGAUAAAAUUAUUGAGCUGGUGGGCCACAUAUUGUGGAUGGACUUCUUCAAAUUUUUGUUUCUGUAGCUGUUCACCUUUUUAAUCCUCCUAUUAAUGUGUUUCAUACUGAUGUAUUAGUGCACUGUGACUGCAUAACAAGCGAGGAAAAGAAAAAAAAUCUUUAUUUUCAGGUUUUCCUUUAUUUUUUGUCAUUCCUAUUUUUUCAGAAAAAGCCAAUACUCACUUCUAUUGGCAUUUUCUUUAUAAAAUUGUCCCCCUUAAAGAUUUGUCAUCAUGUUUAUAUAAUGGAGUUAUGGGGUCUUUCGAGGGUUUGGCGGGAAUUGUUAGUUUGCAUUUUUCAUUUUUAAUGCUUCAAAUCCUGUCCUUGCUGCUAGCCUUUGUUUGCAUUAAAAUGACCAUACAUGGUAUCUUUUUUAUCAGGAAAAUGUCAAGACAAAGCAUCCCCAGUUGUUAUACGAAUCAAAACUUUACAGGAUACUGCAAGGAGGGAGUAAGGAGGCAUUUCUUUUCCUUUUUAUUGCCACUUGAUAUUUAAAAAUUCUUAUUAGUUUUAUUGUUAUUUUCUUAUAUUUGAUUGUGGCAGCUGGGAUUCCGAAUGUGAGAUGGUUUGGUGUUGAAGGUGAUUAUAAUGUCCUUGUGAUGGAUUUACUUGGGCCAAGUCUUGAAGACCUUUUUAAUUUCUGUAGCAGAAAGCUAUCUCUAAAGACUGUUCUGAUGCUUGCGGAUCAGAUGGUAUAGUAUUAACUUCAAUGUGCUUGUAGUGAGUUUUCAUAGAAUCAUAACUGUGAAAUCUUAUCAGAAUCUUAUUGUUUUGGAGUAUGCUUCAUGGAUACUUUAUUGCCCCAAUAAUUAUACUAGGAUUUACAUCAGCUAUUUCUGCUAUAAGUUUUCAAAAUCCUGACAUCUCCCAGUUAUUUUAGGUGUUUAGUUUCUCUCUUAUCUUCCAUCUUAAGAUUUUUGACUACCCUUUUAUUGGGUUUCCUCAUAUCUCACUGGACAUGGUAAUACCAUAUUCACUUAAUCCUUUUCAUCUUGCCUUCAGUAGCUCAAGUUCUUUGCAUCCUCUAAUGUAAUCAUUCCUGACUUCACCCUUGUUCACAAUGCGUUAACCUUAACUGCUAGUCUUUAACACUCUUUUCUUGUGUGGUUACAGCAUAAUUUUUUUAUGAAAUAAGGUUGUGUUUGUCAUUUUUUUUUGUUUGCUUGUGAUAUAUUUUUUCUUAUCCCGCUUCAGAUCAACCGAGUAGAGUUUGUUCACUCUAAGUCCUUUCUGCAUCGAGACAUCAAACCAGAUAAUUUUCUUAUGGGUCUAGGACGGCGAGCUAAUCAGGUGUGCCAUGAAGUUUAUCCUUAUCCUAGUUGAUUAUAGUUCUGUUCAUGAUAAAAUUUGUAAUCUGUUUGAUCUUGCUGCUGUUGUACUUUUCUAUAGGUGUACAUCAUUGAUUUUGGCCUUGCCAAGAAGUAUAGAGAUACUACAACUCACCAGCACAUUCCAUAUAGGUAAGAUGCUGGAAUAUUUAAAAUUUGUGAAAAUAUUAUCUUUAAAAUUUUUGCAUUGUUUGUCUGAAAGUGGAAUUCCUUUCUGUUAUGCUUGCUAAUGAUUGAAUGUGAAGAUCCUCUUAUCAUAGUCCGUUGAAAAGUAUAACAUUGGGUAUGCACACAAUUUUUGAAUUAAAUAUAUUAAAAAUUGUCCCACUUCUUCUACCAUCUCUCAUGAAACUUGAAGGAGGUUUUAAUUCUCUGAAAUCAAGAUUCGAGCCUAGGUAAGUUUUAAGUAUAUAUUUAUGAACUUUUUGAUCUUUAUUGUCUUUGUGCUUUAUUACAGCUUGUUUCCCAUUUUUAAACUAUAGUGCUGUAGAGCAAUUUGAUAUUGUGCUUUGCUAUAUUGUCAUGAUUUUGAUGUAAAAAAGUUUUAUUGAGGAUGAAAGUGGAUAAUAUUAAAAUUCUCUUUGCUUGCUUGCUUCAAGAGGAAAAGUGCAUUGGGUAUAAAGCCUUCUAAAUUUUUGUGUAGUAGUUAAGUUUCAUAUGGGGUAAAUGCAUUUUAAACUAUCUUUCAUUGUGCAUAGAAAUAUUUUUAGCUGCUACCAUCUUUGCUGGAUUUGGUCAAUAGCCAUAGGAUACCAUCCAGUGUUAUAUUUCUGGAAAUAUGAUGAAUAUUGCUAUUUAUUAUGGUUUGAGAAGAAAAGGUUGAUACUUCCCUGAUUUUUGUUUUUUCUUUCUGCUGUUAAGUGGCAUUCGAAGCUCUUGUUAUAUUCUUAUGAAAAAUAUCUAGGGCAUAGCUUUCAUCAUGGUGAAAUCCUCAUAGGAUUAGGAUUACAUUGCUUCGUCUACUUGCCCUUUAAGGAAUGGUAAUGAUUUGGUUAUGGCUCAUCCAGCAGUCGCAAAAAUGCAAUGAGAUAUGUCAGUGAUAAUGAUGCCUGAAGAUAUGGUUUAAUUUUGUUUAUGUUCCUCUACAAAAAUAAGCACUACUAUCGGCUUUCAUAGCCCCUUUUCUUCGUGACUAAGAUGCUGUGAUUGCAUUACAUGUUAAAAUUCUUAUUGAUGUUCCUUUGUCUUCUGGUAGCAAAGCUCAAUUGACAUGUUCUCAUGGAAUUUCAUAGUGGCAUGAUUGAGUUGGUUCGAAAUUAAUUAUUCUAUGAAAAAUUUGGUCUUGAUUGUCUACACAUCUAAAGAGGAAAAGUCUGCUAAAACAUUCUUACUUUUUGCCAUUCAUGGUCUAUUCUCCAUUUCUUGUUGUAUAACAGGGCUAUAUGCAUUUUCUGGUAAUAUAAUGGUUGUUAAAAUAGAUUACUUCCAAUACUUCAAGUUGAAGUUUUGUCUCCAUUCCAUUCUCUUUUGUAAGGGAGGUUUGGAAUCUCAGAGCAAGUUAUCAUGAUUGUUCAAGUUUAAUGUUCUUUAAUGUUGCAUUAGAUGGUAGUUGAAGUGUCUAAGAAUCACUUAUUGUCUGGUUUUACCUGUUGCAGGCACUUUCAUUGUCGGAUUCCUUGGUUAGGCCUGCUUAUGGCGAUGGUUAUAGAAUCUUAGUAACAUUGGUUUGUGGUUUUUCAUAGUAGGCACUGGCAUUGUAGGAUUCCUUGCUUUCCUUCUCACUGUCAUGUGACAUAUCUGAUUGAUUUAUUAAAAAUUAUCUCAGUUCUUGUUGUUGUUGUUCUUUGUUUCGGGGGCUCUGGGUGGGGAAAAGCCUAAAUUAGAACCUUUUAUAGUCAUAGUUAGUGGCUAUUCACUUUAAUUUUAGUUUGCUUCCAAUUCAGCUGCUGUAUGAUCUUGGUAUACCCUUGCUAUUUAUGCAAGUUUUGAGCAUACCAGUCCAAGAGCAGUUGAAAUGUUGGUUUAUCUUUUAUAUAUGAUGACAUUUUAUUUCUGCCUAGUUGAUGAUUGGAGUGAUAAAUUUUAGGCUAUAUAGGACAGCUGAAAUUCUUUGAUUCUACUUUUCUAUGAGCACUUGCAAUCCUUCAUGCACCAUAUCUUGCAACACUUAGUGCCUCAUUGCAUACAUUCACAUCAAAGUUGACUUUCCUCCACAAUGCCUUAUCUUAUAUGGUAGACUAAUAAUUGAGAUCUUUUAGUUGGGGAGCUUUAUGUCAUAUGUUCACCAGUACAUUUUACAGUGUUUUUUCAGCAGUAACAAAGCAUUGCUGUUGUAAUUACGGUUGCACUAAUUAUUAUUAAGUUUUCCUCCCCUUUUUCCCAUAUUGCUGGAAGCUUAGUGGUGUAUAUUCAGUGUUACAUUCUUUAAUAUAUUUUAUUGCCUCGUAUUGGUUUACUCUUAUAUUUAUAGUUUUUUGAUAGAUUUAUGGACAAUCUGAAGAAGCAUGAUGAUUCAUAGUUUGACUGCUUCCCUUUUUUAGUUAUUCCUUUUCUUUGCCCAACAUUGGGUGCAUGUUCUAGAGCAUUUACUUAUCUGGUCAAAAUGAACUUAAAACUAGCUUGUUCUGUGGAUACCAUACUUGUAAAUCUUGUCAGUGGUUUUUCACGUCUGUCAGUUGAAUCUUUGAAUUGCAUUGCACGCCUUUAAUUGCUAGAAAAUUGUUGAAACCCCAUUAGUUGCAUUCUCAUGUUAUGUUUAUGUCUAAAAUAUUGCAGAGAGAACAAAAACUUGACUGGGACAGCAAGAUACGCAAGUGUUAACACCCAUCUUGGCAUAGGUAUGUGUAAUGUGUGGGUGUGUGUGGGUGCGCACAUGUGCAUAUAUAUUUAUGUAUGUGAGUGUAGUUGGCUUACACACUAUAUGUUAACUGCUUGAAAAAGGAGUUAACAAUUUAAAAUUAAUGAUGGGCUAUAUAAAUUCAAAAUCCAAAUCAUCGAACAUGAUCCACGCUGUAAAAAAUGCCAAGAAACAAAAAUUCACAUAUUUUGAUGGCCUAAAACUUAAUCAUCGAGUAGUUGUAUAAUGAACGGUUGAAUCUCAUGAUGCUAUGUUAUACUAUGAUCUAAUCAUCAAAGCCUAGUGAAUUUGAAUCUACCAUGUUUUAAGAUGUGCAGAUCAUGAUCUGAUGGAUUUUCAAUUUAUGUGCCCUAUCGUGUAUUUUACCAUAGUGUGAUUGAUGUAGUUCAUUUUUGUACAGAGUAUGGUUCGCCGUACCGGCCCGAACUGGAUGGUACGAGGCUUACUGUACCAGUUCGGUACCUGUACCCGAUAUGUGUGGCGUAUCGACAUUUGGUACGCCAAAAGGUCCCCAUAUUGUACCGUACCGAUAUAGUACUAGUGUGGUACUGGUACGGAGUCCGGUACCGAGGCAGCGAACCUUGGUACUAGGUUAUGCAUAGGUUAGAGACCACCAAAAGAUAUAAUCUUUGUUUUUUAGUCAUUUCUUGCUCCGUGUAUUUGUUCAACAGUUUGGAUCUUGAAUUUGGACAGUCUAUCAUUAAUUGUAAAAUUGUUAAAUCCCUUUUCAGAGAAUUAACAUAAUGUGUGUAGUCAAACUCAUAUAUAUCUAUGUAUCUCUCUAUCUAAUUAUCUAUUCAUAUGUGUGUGUGUGUGUAUUCGCAUAAGUUUGUAAUUACUUUCUGCUAAUAUACUAAAUUUUUAAUCUCUAUCCAAUGUUUAUCUAUUGCUGUUUAUACUUGAUUUUUCCUAUAUUAUGCUACAUUGAUCAAAUUCCAUGUUUGGUUGUGACUAUUGUGUGAUUUUUUUGGCUGCUAAGAACAAAGCAGGAGGGAUGAUCUGGAGUCUCUUGGAUAUGUCCUCAUGUACUUUUUAAGAGGAAGGUAUGCUUUCUUGUUUGGACUNNNNNNNNNNNNNNNNNNNNGUUGUGACUAUUGUGUGAUUUUUUUGGCUGCUAAGAACAAAGCAGGAGGGAUGAUCUGGAGUCUCUUGGAUAUGUCCUCAUGUACUUCUUAAGAGGAAGGUAUGCUUUCUUGUUUGGACUUUUUCUUCUUUUUUUUAAAUUUUUUUCUCCUCUUUGCUAUCCCUAAUAAAAACCCUGGUCCUCUGGUUUCAGUCUUCCAUGGCAGGGUUUAAAAGCAGGAACCAAGAAACAGAAGUAUGAGAAAAUCAGUGAAAGAAAAGUUGCCACAUCAAUUGAGGUAUAUUUUUAGCUUGUAUCAUAAACUGCAGUUCGUAACUUUUUUCUUCCUUUUAAUGGAUAAAUUGAUCCAAUUGUUCAGGCUUUAUGUCGGGGAUAUCCUUCAGAGUUUGCAUCAUACUUCCAUUACUGCCGUUCACUACGUUUUGAUGAUAAGCCAGAUUAUGCAUAUCUUAAGAGAUUAUUUCGGGAUCUUUUUAUCCGUGAGGGUGCGUUUCACUUUUCGUAUAUCUUUGACGGAAAGACUGGAAGAUUUGUUUAUUUACCCAAUUAUUUUAUUUCUGAACUGAGAAUCUGUGAAUGCCGCUUCUUGUCCAAGGUUAAUAUUGUUUUUAUGUUUGUUCUUCUGCAGGAUUUCAGUUUGACUAUGUGUUUGACUGGACCAUAUUGAAAUAUCAGCAGUCACAGAUUGCCAGUGCUCCUCCGCGUGCUCCUGUUAGUUCUGUGCAGAAUUUGUUGUUUCCGAUUUCACCUUGUUUCUCUUUGUACUUGAACAAUUGCUUAAUCUUUGUUUCUUUUUCAUUAAUUUGUUCUCAUUUUAGGGUCCUGGUGCUGGACCUAGCUCUGGCUUGGCCCCUGCAGUUGCCAACGAGAGGCAGUCAGGUAGCCUAUUUUGUCAUUUAUCAUACAUUCUUAUUUUCAAUUAUGCAAAUAAAUCUGCAUAUUUUCUACAUGGUCUUAUACUGAUGUAUUGUGCAGUUUAUGAUUCAUAUUCGCAUUGGCCUUUCAUGUACUAGAUUAGAAGUUCUUUAGUUUGUGUACAUGAUAUUACUUACAUGUUGUUUACCUAUUCUUGCAUGACUUGCUUUUUCCCCUACAUCUUUAGAGGUGUGAGUUUUGCUGCUGAAAAUUUUGUUCUAGGUGGUGAGGAAGGAAGAACAAGUGGUUGGUCAGCAAUGGAUCCCUCUCGUCGACGAGCUCCAGCUCCAGCUCCGGCUAUAAAUGCAGGCAGCUUGUCGAAGCAGAAAACGCCAAUUGGAAAUGAUCCAGCUGCUACUAAAGAUGUUAUGGUGAGAUCUUCCUAUUCCACAUUGUUAUCCAUCUUCCUAUUCCACAUUGAGAUCACUGAAUAUAGUCUGCAAAGGGUUUACGAAGAUAUAUCUUGCUAAAAUAUUCAAAUCAUGACCGAUGAAUUAUUCACAAAGUCUUUAGAUCAAGGUUUAAAAUAUCAGAUAUAUUCGAUCGUAUUCUACAAAUGGUUACUUAGUUAUUAUAUGCACUACGGAGAUAUAUCUUGCCAAAAUGUUCGAACCGUGACUGUUGAAUUGUUCAUGAAGCCUUUAGAUCAAGGUUUAAAAUAUCAGAUAUAAGUUCUAAUUCUGAAAAUAUGCUACAGUAUAGCUUAUCAACGUGCAAACAGCAGAAUAUAAUAUAUCAGGUCGUCAAACAUUGAGUUAUCUUCGAACUUAUCUUUAAUAUAUAAGUUCUUGUAUCGAGACAUUUUAAUUCUUCUAUAAUCAGGAGUCAUGCUAGUGCUGAGGUAUCCAUUGGAAUUUGGAACAAAUAAUACUAUGGUUGUAGAUUUUCUAAAAUACAUGGGAAGACAUCUGAAGCCUUCACAUUUUUUCCCCCUUAGAAAUGCUUGCUGUAGGAUUUCUAGAUCCACCUGUCGAAUCAAUGUUCUCCUUCAUGUUUUGUAGCUCAAGAUUUUGGAGAUUGCAAUAGGGCUAAGGCUCAUAAAUAUUGUGGAAUUGCAUCCAAAGCGGUAGAUGGUGUGAGAUGACAUCAGAGUCGUGGUCUGAUUUCAAGUGUUUUCACAUGUGUGGUUGUAUUUGAGUAUAAGAUGAAGCAUCAUGAGAGGAUUAUGUAGGGUACUUGUUUAUGCAUAUUUCACCUACAAAUUUGCUUCCUUUGGCCUGCUUCACUAUUUUACAGUCCCACCAAUUCCAGCUUGUCGAAAUGAUAUAUUAAAUAAAACUUCAACAUUGACUUUUACUGUUUCCUGUUCAAGAUUCGUCACAUUCUGCUCUCAACAAACUAUAUAUUUAUAUAGGUUUCACCCUUUGGGAGGCGAGCUUAACUUGCAGUUUUUACCUCUCAAGUUUGUGGUUAGAGAUUCCUGAUAAUAUCCAUCCAAUUGAGCAUUAAUACUAGGAAGAAAGCACAUGCCCAUGAGAAUGAUAUCUCUCUAGAUGAUCAGAGAAAGAUAUAUUUUUGAAAGAUCUUUGAUUUUUUUCCUAGAUCUGGCAUUUUUUCUGCUUCAUGUUUUAUGGUUAUCCUAGAUAUGGAUUUCUAGUAGGCAUCUCGCAUUUGUAUGAGUCCGAAUAGUUGAAUACGCAGUUUUCUUCCUUUUUUUGUAUUUUUUUGGGCACAUUCUUUUAUUUUGACAGCUUUCCCCCCCUCCCGCUGAAGGCUCAUCGUCAUUCUCUAACAAAAAUAGUUUGAAUUGAUCUCCAAGGUCUGGUCUGGAAAUGGGAUAAGGGGUGGGAUAAGGCAUUUAUCGUUCUUUAUCUCUAGGGUCAUUUCAUGGUGCAGUGGUAAAAGCCUUGCGCUCACAAACCCAAUGACAUGGGUUCGGGUCUAAGCAGCCACUGUGUCAAAAAAAAAAAAGAACAAAAAGAGCAAAGGUAAGGUCAGACCCAGUUUGCCCCUCCCAGAGCCCCAGAUUGCCUGAACAUAAUUGGGUAAUGCGGAAAUGGAAAAUCCUUGGGGUAAAUGCUAAACAGACGAGAUUGUGGGGUGGAACAACUGAUCCCCGACAAUUUGACCAAACUAGGGAUAAUUGGGAGUUGCUGAUUCUAUAGGGUUUCUAGAAUUUCACAGUCGCCGCACUCUCCCCAUGUUUAUCACCACUUGAUUUGUGAAAAUGGCAAAAUAGAAAAAAAAUCUUUCCUAGCAAAACGUAAUCACAAAGAGCAUAUAUGUCUUUUUACCCAAAUAAUAACCAGCAUAGGUAUGAUGGUUAAUGGGGUUAAAAAGCACUUGUUGCCAAUGCAAAUUUGAAUUAUCCUUACUAAUCUUACUUUGUUCGGGAACUGGCUGUACCUAGUGGGGAUGACGACAAAGUUGGAUGCCCGCCCUACCAGCAUCAGAGCUGUAAGGCAAAUCCUGAACCUGUAUCCAGCUUAUAAUUAUCACAAAUUGACUGCUGUAUGAUUGUGAAAGUUUCUGGAAUGUAGCAUGUAAUCUACCAGCUUUAAGGUUAUAGUGCUUUUUAGCGUCAUUAUCUGUUAGGGUAUCACCAGGUUGAGGGAGGUCUAUUAGGAUAUUUUAUUGCGAGAGGGAGUCAAUGCACUUAAUAUUCCUGCAGGUUUGAGCUUGUAAAGUUUCAUCUACUUUUGAUGCAUUAUCUGUGUGUUCUGAAUAUAGUGAUCUAGCGGUGGAUAUAGCUAGAAAUGUAGUGUUGAAAUUAGGAAAAUUCUUGCUGUUUCUAUUUCCUGACCUAUCAACCAUUUCUUGAUCAACUACAUCAGGAUUAAGUAUAUUUGUAACCAAUCAUGUGAUUCGGUAGGCGUGUUGCUUUACUAGACGUAUUUAGUGUUUGCCAUGUAAUUCCUGACCGUGGAUGCAUAUACCAUAUAGUUAUCCAGUUCAGCUUUUUUGGGGCGGUCAAGCGGAUCUUCAAGGCGAGCUGCUGUUUCUAGCAGCCGGGACGCUGUGGCCGGUGAGUCUGACCCAUCUCAGACUCGUACUGCUGAGGCAAGCCCUGGGACAUUCCGCAGAUUUUCUGGUGCUCAGAGAAGUUCCCCUGUUAGUUCUGCAGAGCACAAGCGAUCUCCAUCUGGUAGGCCAUCGAACAUCAAGAACUAUGAAUCCACCCUUAAAGGCUUCGAGUGCCUUAAUUUCAACAGCGACGAGAGGGUUCAGUAUUAGUGUUGAUUCUAGUCAAGCUGCUGCAACUUAUGCUUCGUUCACUCUGUAUAAAAACAUCGUAAACUGGAGAAACAAUAUGCUCGGGCAUGUUUCCCAUCAGUCAAAUGUGGGAAGCUGUUGGGUUGACUGGUGAUUUGAGAAAGUGCCCUAAAGAUGGUGCAAAAUAAGAGAAAGGCAGUUCUAAGGAGUUGGGACACCUAACCGUGCCGUUGCCAUGGUAAGGCUAUUUGUACAUUGUGUCCUGAGUUAUUGCUAUGGCUUCCUCCUUGAUGUAAUCCAUGUUAUUUGAUUAUAUUUCUUGGAUUUUAUUUUUCCGCUGAAUCCACAUGCCACCUGUUUGCGUACGAAAUCAUUUGAUUUAUUGUAUUUAAUCAACAAUGUGAGGACUCCAGGUGUGUUAAAUUACCUGUGUGUCUGCCUGCUUGAGUAUGUGUUAUUGCAUGCCUGGAGCUUCAUGUAUUUGUUUGUGGUACUUGAUUCUCGUGCUAUAAUGUAGGCCUUAUUGAGCAACAUAUUUCGUUCUUAGCGAACCUUGGUUUGGUUUGUUCGAGCUCCUUGUUGCAAAAUUGUGUCAGUCAGGUAAGGGAUUGGGGGAGUUUCUUUCCAGCGCAAAGGUCAAGGUUCAGCUGCUGUCAUCCGAAAGCAGAUGUUUUGGUGAAGUAUUUGAGUUUUCUUUUGAAAACGGCAAUUCAUAUACCUUAAGUACAUUCUAUCAAGUCAUAAGAAAGUAAAAAGUACAAUGAGGGUGGUAAAUCAACUACGGAUGUCCAAAGAAUUUUUUCAGAAUGUUGCGCAAUAUAAGGGGCGAUCUAGUCUGUUGCUCUAUUCGCCUUUCGGAAUACAUGUGCAUUUGGAACUCAUCCAACUUCAUACCUAAUCUAUGAGUCUUACGAAUAAGAGGAUGACUAUCUCCAUAUUUGUUCGUAUUCAGGAUCCAAUCGAUCACUAUUGAUGAGUCCUUCUCGAGGUAUGCUAGCUUGGCACCAAGAGCCUGCCUCACGUAGGAUUUAUCUAUCAAGCUGCCCGCAGUUCUGCUCCAACUGCAGUAAGUUCUGUCGUACUACGUUCCCCAGCAAUAACUAGCCUACCAAAGUGGUCUCUCAUUAUAAAUUCUACACCUUCGGACAACUCAUCCAUCAACAUGCUACCAUCAAAAUUUAUUUUGAGAUGGCCAAGGGGUGGGGGCAUCCAAGAAACAAGAGCAAAUCUGGGCGCUGUAGCAGCGGAGAGAGUACCCCAGAUGUCUCUGACCAUCCUAGGAGAGAACAUAGCAACACAUGAAAUAACCUUCCUGGCCUGAAGCACGGCUCUAUCCACCACCAUCCUCGAAGACAACUUCCUGCCCUCAAAUAGGCCCGCAUUCCUGUCCAACCAAAUAUGGUAAGCUAGAUAUGCUCUAAGUAUCCUCGCCUCAGCAAAACUAGGACUCUGCAAUGAAACUCUCAGUAGAUGUAAUAGGUCAUGUGAUGACUCCACCCAAUGGGGAAGAGGGGCUGGUGAUGUCCUCCAUAUCUUUCUAGCCCUGAGGCAUUACAAAAGAAUAUGCUCAAUAGUCUCCUCGCUGUCCGUACACACCUCACAGCACUGAGAAAUCUGCACACCUCACCGAGCUAGCACACUCCUGGUAGGUAAGCAACCCCAGGCCACCUUCUAAAUGAAAAGCGUCACCCGCAAGUGAAUCUGCAUCCUCCAAAUCCAUCCUUCCUCGAUCUGCCGGGUCGGCUUCCCACUGAACAGAGCCUAGAGAUCCCUCGCACGCACCUGAGAUCGGCCCGACAGCACCCAUACUAACAUGUCGAACGCUCCCUGGACAGGAACUGGGAGAGCCAGGACCAUCUUAGCCAGCUGCUCCCCAAACACCUCUCGAAUCAACUCCUCCCUCCAACGUCCCUCAACAGAGUCCAUCAAAUUGCUAACCAUGCAACCAGCUAAUUGCACUGAGUCCACCAUGGUCAGCAGGCGGCUGAUCGAUUGUGAGAUCACCUAGCAAUCCUCCAGCACAUCAAUGGACCGGCCAUCACCAAUAACCCAUCUGACCUCCGGGAGGACCAACAUGGCUCUUGCGCACAUCUCCCUCCACACCGGUGAAUGGUGACCGGCCACUCUCGCUUCAGGCAGCAAAACACCAUACUUGGCCCUCAUCAAUGAAGACCACGUACUGUCGGGCUCCAUCACAAAUCUAGCAACAUGGCAAGCCGCUAGGGCCUCCUGCCUAGCCAACAGGGACUGUACCCCCAAGCCCCCGAACCUGGUCGGCUGACACACCACCUCCCAUGCCAAUAGGUGGAUACCACCUCUACCUCCACUCCUCCCUCAGAUGAAGUUUCAAAGAGCUGCUCAAGAGUCCUCGGGACCCCCACUGGAAUGAGGGAGUUGGAUAGCAAAUAAAUAGGAAUCGAGGAGAGGACUGCCCGAACUAGGGUGAUCCUACCCAUCAUUGACAGUGAAUGCAUCUGCCAUCCCUCCAACCUGUGCCUGAUGCUAAGCUUCAGGUAAGAGCAAUCCGUACUAUAUAGUCGCCGACCAGAGAUUGAAACCUCCAGAUAUCUCAAAGUGCCUUCCUGCUCGCCUAUCCCCAAAAUCUCCAAAAUAGAGUGCCUCACCGUCCGUCUGAUCUUCGAACUGAAACAAAUUACUGACUUUGAUAAGUUGACCCUAUGCUUCGACACUGCACAAUAGUCACGAAGAAUCCUGUCAAUGACCCCAGCAUCUUGUCGAGUCGACCGGGCUAGCAGUAAACAGUCAUUAGCGAAAAGCAAAUGUAAGAUCAAAGUAGCCCUCGCCUCUGGCCUGUAAGCCUCCAACUCUUGAGUAAGUACCGCCUGUCGCAGAGCUCUGGACAAAGCAUAUGCACAUAUAAUAAACAGCAAAGGGGAUAUGGGGCAUUCAUGUCGCAACCCUCUAUAGGACUCAAAGAAACCAGAUGGCGUGCCAUUCACCAAGAUGGCAAAAGAAGGGACCCUGACACAGCAUAUCACCCACCGAAUCCAUGUCUCAUGAAAGCCAAACCCCUGCAAAGACUGCUGCACAAAAUCCCAUCGCAUCCUGUCGUAGGCCUUGUCCAUAUCGAGCUUGAUCCCCAUCAAGCUCCUCCUCAUCGGGGCCUUGCCCAAGUCAAAUAUAAACUUCUGGGCUAUAAGCACAUUAUCAGAAAUACUCCACCCUCCUAUAAAAGCUCCCUGCUCCGUACUGAUUAGCCUCGGAAGAAUAUUUCUCAACCUAACGGCAAGUAUCUUCGUCGUGGCCUUGUACAAGGUGGUACACAAGCUAACUGGUCGGAAGUGACUCGACUCAAUAGCAUCUUGCCGCUUCGGUAUCAAGAUGAUAAAGGUCCUCUGCCAAUCUGACGACAUCACUGUUGUACUGAAAAACUGAUGUAUAGUUGCUGUCACAUCCUGUCCUACAAUCAUCCAAUACCUCUGAAAAAAUAUCGGUGGAAAGCCAUCCGGUCUCGAAGCCUUAUCCUCCUCGAGGGACCACAUCGCCUCCCUAAUCUCCCUCUCUGACACCGGUCUGAUCAGUGCCGCAGCCUCCUCCUCUGACACCCCAACCACAGGCCUCGGCAUCUUCGCCCAACUCCCAUCCCCUAACUGCUCCAUCCACUUUGCCCUGAAGAAGCUCUCCACAGCCCUCUGAAUCAUGACGGGGUCCUCCAACAGGUGCCCAUCCUCUCCCCUGAUGACUCUGAUCCUAUUCUGGUGCGUUCUGAUCACUGCCGUCUGAUGGAAAACCUUGGUAUUCCGAUCUCCCUCCAAAAUUCACUGGACCCUCGACUUCUGUCUCCGCAAUGUCUCUUACUGUCUAAGAAGAGAAUCAUGCAAUACCAAAUGCGAUCUGAGCACCCCCACCUCGCCAUCCGAUAGUCCUCCCCUAUGUGCCUCCUGAGAUUGUAACCUAGCAAUGGCCUCCUCUACCUCCUUUGUCCUCCUAAAAAUAUUCCCCACUUCCUUACGGUUCCACCUCCGCUGCCGCCUCCUCGUCAGCUCCAGCCUUCGAGAGACCCGGUACAUCGCAUAUCCCCUAACCGGGGCAUUCUAAACCUCCCUCACCAUCUUCCAGGACCGUGGAUAGCAUAGCCAAAACUUCUCAAAUUAGUACACACCAAUAGUGGACUAUGGUCCAACGCAAUCUUAAAUAGGUGUCUGACGUGAUGAUUCGGAAAGCACUAAACCCACCCAGCUGUAGCACAAGUCAUGCACAGCUGAGUGUUUUGGCGAUCAAGUCGUGCACAUUCGGGCCACCUUCAAGUUGUGUUGGAUAGGACCAGUAGAGAAGCCCAUCAUGACCGAUGGCAGUAAACGUAGGCAUAAAGCUCAUAGGAUCGUUGGAUAAUAUGCUAAUGUAAAGCGAAUUUUGUAUAAUUCUGUCGUCAUCACUCAUCCGUGCCCGCCCGGCUUGAGGCUCCCGCGGCUACAUUUUUCCAUCCGACCAUCGCUGAACCAAUGUGGUCCCAAAAGCAUCGAGCCCUGCCUCUCCAAUGACCCAGUGGCCAGUAGUACUACAUGGGUUCUGCACAAGCCCCUUUAUAGGCGCUGGUGGCUAAUCUACUUGAUGGCCUAUGCGUCGGAUGAUGCGUAGCAAAUAGCCAUGGAACACUAAUCAUGGAAGCAACCAGGGUUCUGUGCAUGAUUUGAAUACAAAGAUAUAAUUAAUCAGGCAUGAAGUUAACUAUUGACCCUGGGACAAAGUUGGGCAUUUUUCAGCAUUCAGGUGUCUUCAAUCAUUGUGUAGCAGCAUGCUGGAAUUCUUUAGAGUCCGUAAAUCUUGACCGGCUCGACAUGUUUAACUCAACCGACCAGUGCAUCUACUUCUAAUAAAUUGACUUGGCAAGCGGCAAGACCGGUUCUCCGCAAUUUACUGCACCAGCGCGGCAAGGUCUACCCCAUGCGUUCACCACUACAUUGGCCUCCACUUAUUUCUUUAUCCUCCUCAAUUUUGCAACAAGCCACCAUCCCAUCCGUAUUAUCAAUAUAUGAUCUAUAUACCUACUUUAUAUCCUAAUCCCCAUCCCUACAUUGUGGGCCAGCUCGCGCUUUCAAAGUACCCUCCAGAUUCAUCUCUCCACUUGGCUCAUCUUAUGUUCUUUGACAUUUUGUAUGAAAAAAACUGGUUCCUGUCUUUUCUCAUGCAUGACCUUGAAUUUAGAAACAUAGAAAUUAUUUCUCCCUGAUUCGACAACUUUUGUGUUUCUUCUUGCGGCCUUUAUUUAAUCGCUCUCAGAUAGGAACCAAGCUGAGUAAGUAAUCUGCAUUUGAUAAAGAAAAUUCGAAAUGAAUAGGGGGCUAUUUUCUGCAUGCAUUGCUAUGAAGAAAGAGACGUGCAUUGCAGGAUAUGAAUUAUAAGAUUUAUAAAUCCCAUAAUAAGUCCAAAUCUUGGAUUUGUUGGAUCGUAUGCUCUCCAACUCUACCUAAUGAUCUUAGAUAAGCAGGUAGCGUCAGUUUUGAACCCAUAUGGAACCACUGUCAAGAGCAUGAUGUAAUAGAAAACCAAGUGGAAUUAAUUAAUGGAUUGGAGAAACUGCAUGUAUGCGCGAAGCCUGUAAGCAAGUCUCGCAAACAAACCGAACUUGGUUCAACUUUGAUCUGGCAUGACCUGUUCUGUUCUGAAAAAAUUAAGCAACAGCACCAUACAAUGUGUAAAUUACUACUUGCAUGUAAAAGCAAUAUUUCAGGAAAAUAUAUGACCAAAGUUUUGGCCACUUAGAUUUAUUAUGACCAAAGGUCAUGUAACAGAAGAACUAAUGGUGCAUUGAGUCCUUACGACCUGUUGAUGAAUGCAAGAUGUUGCUGAUGAGAAGUGGAUAACAUUACCAAUGAUAAUGCCGGUCCACAGCAGAGAAGGUGCUGAUUAUAAUGAUAGUAACUAGAGAUAUGAUAAUAUGGAACACCAUCACACAUCACACUACGAUUUGUUUAGGCUGAAAGGAGGCCGUGGUACAAUCAAACAAGACCAACAUACUCCUACUGAUCCCUGUCCCAUGAUGGAACCAGUCAUCGCCGGCCUUUGGAUGCCUGAAUAGUCCACAGACACACACCUCAUGGCUGAGGAUAUGAAAGGGAAUCCCACGUACAGCAACCAGAGACCCUUCACACCUCUUGCUUUCAGAGGUGCAGACCAGGGGGCAUCCCAAGGCCCACCAAACCCCUGAUAAGAGUUUAGAGCCAACGCCAACUUUAAGCUCCAGAUAAGCCCCAAGGCACCUAACAAACAAACAAAAACUUUCUGGACCAUCCAUUCUCCAUCGUAUGACUCCAUCCCCUGGUGUCUGCUAAAGUUAGGAUGGCUAUCGGUAGUCUCAAAAGUCUGCAACUUACACCAACAAAGAAGCAUAAUGAUGUGGUUUUUCAACAACAUUAAAGAUGUUUUUUCUGUGCGCACUUGCAGAAUUUUACAGAAAGUCUUCUGAAUCUGGAAACUAUAGAUUUAUGGGAUCGAUGCUGCUGCAUGACGAAACAUUAUCAGCAUACAGUGGAUUAUAUGGUCUGCGAGUGAUCUCUGAUAAGAUGCUGUUAAAUUCGUAAAAGGUGGAUCGAUACAUGGAAUGAUGCACAAGCAAAAGGAUUUAAUAGGACACUCCACACAGACCUGCAUUUUAACCUUUUCCAGAGCAUGAUGGUCAUUUGCCUGCUGAUAUAUUUCAUGAAGAGCUGAGAGUGGUUGUUCUCAGAUAUUCAAAGUCCCAAAUUGAUAUAUAAAUCUUCACAACUAGAGUCUUUCUUUCUUCAGGCCUACGGAGUAAUCCAUGGAACUGAAGUGUCAAAAUUAUCAGUCGGUGUAUAUAACCUUCAACACAGACAUUAGAUAUAUAAAUGAUAAAUUUUGCAUUAAAGGCAAAACUGAAGCACUGCGUCCUUGCACAAUGUUACUUAGAAGACGGGAUUCUCUCCCUGAGCAUGCAGGUCGGUAGGGAUACUACGGCUUAUAUCAGCUACAGCUGUGCUCAGAUCUUGACCACAAAAUUGCUGGUAAAAGUUUGUAGACAUUCAUUCUUCGCAUGAAAAAAUAAUGGAGGCAACGGUAAUUUUAUUAGGAUAUUAGAUGAUAGGAGAAACACGUCCUAUAAACAGCGAUGCCCAUGCAUGAGGCUUCUCAGAUAAUUGUUAAAGAAAGAAUCACAUUAGAAUGGAAAUAAAUGAUAUCAAGAAGGAUCGAGAUGUCAUGGUGAACUUGGUGCCUUUGAAUAACCUAGGCGUGCAAUCUCCCAGCUUUUACGUGGAGCAACCUCUUCGUGCAAUGGAGUGUAUUCCUGCAACUCAGAUGAAAGAACAAAAAUCAUCAAGAAGAAUAAGAAGUGAAACAACUGUUAGGAGUUAGGACUGUAAAUAUUGCUCCUUGCUGAGGCUAUCAUAGAAAGAAAUGCUGGAUAAAGUUGGAUUGACACAAAAGGUGAAGUAGGAAAAAAUAUUACAAAUUUAUAUAAUGAAACCUAGAGUGAGAGGGUAGAUAACCUCCAUUUUUUCUAGCAGUUCUUUUGCAGUUGGAGCAGAAACAACUAUGUGUCUAGCAGCUGGCUUAAUGAAUCCUUCCUUCACACCAUUGUCAAAUAGUGCAAGCAAGGAAUUGUAGUAACCAUCAACAUUUAACAGCCCAACCUGCACAAAUAGGAAUUGUAUUAUCACCUGUAUUUUGUUAAGAAAUUCAAAGAUGUUAAUGCAAGAGUUUGAAGUUAACCGGUUUAUUAUGAAUUCCUAGUUGUGACCAUGUUAUCAUCUCCAGCAACUCUUCCAUUGUUCCGUAUCCACCUUACAUAUUCCAAAGCAAAUGCAGUAUUUCAUCAGACAGAAGUAAAUGCAGUAAAUUCUUGAGACGUAACUAUUGCUUGCAAUUGUUUUCAAGUAAAACUUGACCAAGGAGCUGGUGAGGAUUUACCAGGAAGGGCGAUGAAUGCGUCAGCCUUUUGAGCCAUUUCAGCCUUACGCUCAUGCAUGUCGGCGACAGUUUUUACUUCACCAACAGUUUGGCCAGAUAUCUGGAAAAAGUUAAAUUUCCAGUCUUCAGCGCAUUAUGAAAGGAAUAACAAAGAGGGGAGGGUAGAUGGGUAGGAGUCGACGUCAGAUUGUGCUUUCCAUAAGGUACAUAUCCACUUAAAAUCAUGCAUCACAUUAAAUCUGGGAAAUGAAUGAAGUUGUCAUUCCUUCCAUAUUCAUUUAUAUAUAUCAAUAAUCCAAAAGCCCUUUCAUUAGAUUGCUUCUCUCAAAUACGAAGCUGAAAAUUCAAUGAAGAGCUGGCAGAUUAACUUCCGAGGGAUCCUUAUAUAUCAGGAGUCACUUUUUUUUCUUAUCAAUAAUAAGCAAAAGUCGGAGGAUAGCUCUGAAAAGUAUAUGUAAAAGAGUAUAAAAUUUCAAAACUCACAAAACCAGGAAUGCAUGGUACUGAAUUGAAGAUUAACAUAGUUUUAAGAUCGCAUCUAAUUAGGUCCAAGCCACCACCUUUAUAAUAUGGACCUCAAUAAAUCGGAAGGUAGGUACCAAAUUCCUAGCAUUUAUUAGAGUACUACAACUAUGAUUCCUCUUGGCCUUCCCCACGUUCAAUAUAUCUGAAAGCAGAUGAAAUCUACCUAUGCUUCCACCAUACCCGUUACAAAUAAACCACUGUGCUGCCUCCAUAUGGCCUUGCACAAGUUUAAAAACCUCUGAUCUAAGAGAUCAAAGGUAAUCUCUUAGCCAUAAGACAACGCUUGGAACCAAUCCAUUUCAAAGUGUAUGUGAGACCAAGGAAAAAGAUAACUACCGGGGAAAAAGUUAACAACUUGCUGUGCCUAUUCUUGUGGCAAAAGAUUUACAAAAUAGAAAACAUGGAGAUACAGUACAUGGCAGAAUGAACAAGAAGGUAAAGAAGAAAAGGAUACACAAAACAAUUACAUACCUCAAGGGGCAUGAGAGCUGUAGGAAUAACCCUGCACGAAUUCAUUCCAGUAAAUUUUAAACACAAGCAGUUGCAUUUAUUUAUUUACUUUUUCUCCAAAAAACACUAAUAAAGGGUUGGAAGAAAGAAAAGAAGCCACAGAAUAGCAAAAUACAAAGGCAAUAUCAAAAGGGCAAAGUUCCUGUGUAGUAACUACCCGAGGACAUGGCAGCCUCCAUCAUAUACUGUCUGAGAGAUCAGCCCCAUCAGUCCCGCGCUACCCCCACCAUAAACUAAAUCAAUUCUUCUCUUCACCUGUAAUCAUCCAAGAAAUGCAACAAAACAAUUGUAAAGACAAAAGCAAAAACAAAAUGCCACUCUAUCCAUCAUCCAAAAUCUAUACUGCGAUCCAGCUUAAAGAAGAAGAAGGAAACCGGAUUCACUGCAAUCGAAAACCAAUACCCAGGUCCUCGUAUCCAAUUUAAUUCACUUCAAGAUUAAAGUUUUAAGGUUCUUCAGCUCCCAAAAUCCAAUUUUUUGAUCACCCAGAUGGAGAAAAGAGAAGGAGCAGCAACGAGGCAUACCAGCUCGUGACCCAAAUCAAUAGCUGCAUCGCUGAAGACGGUUCGGUUGCCGGAGUUGCUGCCGCAGAAGACGCAAAUCCGCUUGAACUUGCUCGGAGCCACCUCGCCCAUCAUUGUUCUAUCCAACCUCUCCCUUGCUUUCCACUCUUCUCCAAAAGAUUGGGAUAAAAAAGAGAUUUCCCCACGCUCCUCUGUCUCUCUUCUCCAAGAGAACGAUACAAAGGAGUGAUUUUUCCCCCCCUCAGUUUCUCUUCUCCAAAAGAUUGAUUUGAGAUAAAGGAGAGAUUUGUCCCCUCGGUUCCUUUCACUUUCCCAAGAGAAUGAGGUGAAGGAGAAAUUUUUCCCUCGGUCCCUCUCUUUUCUCCAAAAGAUCGAGAUAAAGAAGAGAUUUUUCCCCCUCGGUUCCUCGGUCAAAACUUCACGUAGAGAAUGGAUUUUUAGACGGAGAAAGAGCGAAUCCAAAUCGAUACGCUCUUUUGUUGCUCGAAUCCAACCAGUAUCUGGAAUCCUAACGUCCUCCCUUCCCUCUCUGAUCUAAACAAACUUUAGUAGAAGACCAACAUCUCUUUUUAUCUCCCAAUCUCUGUCUUCUUUUAUUUAUUAUUCCUUCUGUCUUUUCCCUUUCCUCAGGCAAACUUCUCGAAGGAGACACCCACCGAAAGGAGGAAAGCUCUCUUACGCUGCCUCUCCUCUUCUCUCUCUAAGCCAUGACACCCGCCUAUAUUUAUUGAUCCAGUGUUGGUUUUAAUUGAUGUCAUUUGCCACCCCCCAUGGACCACAGCUUUGUGAUGUGAUUCCUACCGUUGGAUAUGAAUGGUCGCCUCUCGGAUUCGUUGGCCCUUAGGUUGCGACCUUGGAGGUUAGGACUGAGCUAAGCCCACAUCAAUCUAGUAGUUUGAAACAUCCCUGGAGGUGGUUAAAUUAGUUUGCUUGGAGAGACCCCGCUGUGCCCCAAUCCUAAUGACCCUUUGGGGUCUUUGUUUCUGCUGAACUGUUGAUAACUAAGGAGCCCACAUUAGAGGUCUUGCAGAUUCUGCUAAGAAAAUAAUUUUGCUCAAAACUUAAGCAAACUGCAACGCUUGAUGAAUAGUUAAUACCUAACUCGCUCAAGAACCUAGAUUAAGCCCCAAGUAAUCCACAUUCAGAAUGAGAGACUCCUAAUGACCCUUUGGGGUCUUUGUUACUGCUGAACUGUUGACAACUAAGGAGCCCACAUUAGAGAUCUUGCAGAUUCUGAUAAGAAAAUAAUUUUGCUCAAAACUUAAGCAAACUGUGUCGCUUAAGGAAUAGUUAAUACCUAACUUGAUCAAGAAACUAGAUUGAGACCCAAGUAAUCCACGUUUAGAAUGAGGGGUCACGACAACAAUGGAAGGACUAAGAGCAAUGGUAGUGUCUUCUUCUAUGGAAAACUUUCGUCGGUGGCGAUUAGGUUAGCCAUCGAAUUUUUUUCGCAUGAGUUUUAUAGCAUUUCUUUUGUAACUAACAAUUAUUAGAAGAUCUAGGCAUACAUGAAUAGGACUAUUGUUGACUCCGGGCAUCAUAUUUAAUUUUUCUGGUGAUGUGGUUAACAAUUUUUAGGCUAUUUGUGUGCAUCAGGUCUUAUUUGCAUGUUAGCUUUUAGAUUGCCAUGUGGUCUGGGUCAGUGCUCUAUAAGAACACCACCUUGUCGGCAUAAACCAGACAUGCAACAUGGCCAACAAGUUAUUAACCCUAUUAGCAAAACAUUCAAAAUGAAAAGUUUGUAAACCAACUGCAAAAUUAUUAUGCUGGAACUCUGUAACAACUCAAGACCUUAUCCAAAAUGGCUAGCCGGAAGAUAUUAUUUGGAUUUCUUGAUUCCAUAUAAGUAUUCAAGAUCUAUACAGCGAAUAACCAAUAUGGGACGAAACACAUGCCCGCACGGGUCCUUACAUACUCCUUCCGUUCAAGCCCUGACAUCCUCGUCAGGCUAAGGGUUCAAUUUUAUUCAAAUCUAAUUACAAACACGACGAUCAGUCCGUGGUCAGCUCCAAUUGAUCUAUGCUGCAGUGUCUUCUAGUCCACAUAGGUUAUGGGCCAGGUCCGCUCUGAUACUAUUUAAACAACUCAGGACCUCACCCAAAAUGGUUACAGAAAAUAUUAUUUGGAUUCCUUAAUCCUUUAUAAGUACUCAAGAUACAUCCAGCAAAUAACUGAUGUGGGACUAAACAUACGCCCGCAUAGGUCCUUACAAACUCAACAUGGAAAUGAGUAAUUACAUGCCACACAAUAGCACUUGUAGGGCAGAACCCUUCCCUCUUGCUCUCACAAUGCUGAGAAGGCAGCAGAGAAGAAAGAGGAGGAGAGCGUUUUUUUGCAUAAGCCUCUAGCUGCUGAAAGGAGGGGAGUUUAAGGGAUGUUAACUUUGUCCACAACGAUCACAAUAUGGUUUAUUACAGAAAGAAACCUAUGUAAAUCAUGAGACAUAAGAAGAGCAAAUCCCUAAUCCCAUCUUAUAUGGAGGUUCGCUUUACCCGUGCUCAUCCUGAAUGAUAACAGAAUGUAGCGGUUAGCAAUUGUUUAUAGUUGGUAUUUUCAGCAGCCUGAAGUGAUCAAUUAUUCGAAAACUAAAUCAAGAAAAAGUAGAAGGUAAAUGGAGAAGGAGAUGUACAACAAAAAACCAAGUUCGUAACUGUUCUCAUAAGAUGCUCACAGUGGUGUUUCGGAAACUCUGAAGAUUAUCAGAGAGAGAGAGAGAGAGAGAGAGAGAAAGGGGGGGAAAAGCAAAAGAAGGUAAAAAGAAUCAACUAAUAGAAAGUGUUCGAGUGCAGAAGAGCGUGCCAAAAUUAUCGUCAUCAAAUAGUAUUGAUGUGGCCAUCAACCGGGAGGUGACAUGUGGCGCAACAUGAACUUAGUUGUAUCCGGAUUCAAAUUCUUAGGCUGAAAGGUAAGAAAGGCUAAGAUAUCUGUCCAUCAAAUCAAGGACUCUAGAGCCUAGGUCGAGAGGAAGAAGGACUAUUUGUCUAUAGAAGAGGGCCCAAAUACCAGGUACAGAGGACAGAUAGUAUUUUCUCUUUUAUACUCUCCUUAUUUUCUCAGAUCUUCUCGCUUAUUCCUCUGUUGGUCCGUAGAACUUUUUCUUAAGCAUCAGACGAUCGUGCUGGAACCAAUCUGACGAGCCUUUCUCUUUUCUUUUCUGUGUAGAGCAACAACACAGCAACAACACACAAUGAACCGUGGUCUCACCAGAGUGCUGACUGACUAAGAGCCUUUCGACCAUCAGAUCAGAUUUUGGCAGCAACAAGUAUCUUUCAGAAUAGGGUUUACUGCAACUUCUGACUUAAGCACUCGACGGUCAUGCUGGAACCAAUCCGACGAGCCUUUCUUUUUUUAUGUGUCGAGCAACGACAUGCUAUGAACCGCUGUCUCACCAGAGUACCAACCAACUAGAAACUUUUCAACCAUCAAAUCAGAUUUUGGCAGCAACAAGUACUUUUCAGAAUAUUGUUUACGACAACUUCUAACUUAAGCAUCGGAUGGUCAUGCUGGAACUAAUCUGUCAAACCUUUCUUUAUUUUUGUGUGUAGAGCAACAAUACCUUAUGAACUUUGUCUCGCUAGAGUGCCGACCAACUAAGAGCCUUUCAACCAUCAGAUCAGAUUUUGGCAGCAACAAGUGCCUCUCAGAAUAUGGUUUACUGUAACUUGACCAACUUUAAAAUUAAGGCAGACUGCUCGUCGAGACUGCUCUUUUUCUAAAAAUAUAUAAUAAUUAAAGUGCCGACUUUGGUACUGCACAAGGAAGGGUCACUUUCUGUAAUACUGUUGCACAGGCCAUUUUGGUGAGAUCCAAAAUAAAUAUGUAAGAAGAAUUCACAAAGACAAGUCAUAUGUGCUACUGAGUUUAGGUAGUUUGUCGCUUACUCGAGAUGUAAAGACUCCUGGAGCACUCCACCAGGAUUGGACAAAUCGCCAUAAUAACCCACUUAAAUACUUAAUACUCAGUGCAGAGUGGUCCUCCAAUUCGUAGAAGCCAUAAUGAAAUUUUACAGAAUCCUUGCAGAAGAUAAGGGUUGCAUGUCCCCCUUGUAAGAUUUCAGAGUUCAUGGAUUUCAUUUGCUGGCUUUUGAAUGCUUACUUUCAACAAGCUCUCACAUGCAAGGACCUGUGAUUAAAUAUAUAAGACUAAAGGCAGUCUGAGAAAGUUCAAGGUAGCUAUCUGUCUCCAAGAAUCAAUUUUGUCAUGAAUACAUCGUGGUCCAAUUUACGUCAGAAAAGAUACAUUGUGGCCCAGUGCCUGAUUCAAUUCCAAAACUAACUGAAGACUCGUACGUAUACCUUAUGAAAGCCCCCAGUUAUUAAUAUGGAUGAGACAAGCUUCUCUGUAGUGCUACAAUACCACUGCAAUAGACAUUCUCAAAUACCAUCAUAAUAGGAAAAGGAAAGAACAAGGAAUAAGAGUUCCAAUUGUAUGAAAUUCUAAUGUAUCAAGACUAAAUUGAACAUUUGAUGAAUGGCGCUAACAGCACUCUGCCUCUGGUUCUCCAAAUUCAAAAACAAUAACAAAUUCUCAAGGAAUAAAACUUUCAAGUACAUACUUCAAAUAUGUGUGAUGAGAAAUAUAGUUGUUCGGAAUAUUACAUGAAGAUCUCAAUUAAAAUGCAUGCAGAAGAUUCUUUACUUUGACCGGCUUCGGACAUUCAGGCAGUGGGAACAAACUGCCUUAACAGCAUCAUAUUAAUACCUACUAGAGGACAGACAUGCAACUCAUAUACAAAGUUUGCUGCUUUGGUAGCGAACUCCAUACCGGUACCAUCCUAUUAUAGUGUUGGUAUGCAGUACGGUACGAGACUGCAUACCGGUUCGAUACUGAUACGGUAUGGCACAUCCGACAUGGUAUGGUACCGACGGAUACGACAAACCUUAACUGCUACUUACAAAUUUUUGUCAGUUGCACCUAGAUAAAUCAUCAUAAUCAUAAUAUACAUUAAGUAGUGCUAAAACCAUUGUUAUCAUAAAUUCGUUUAUCAGAUUUUAGUUACUGUGCUUCUCUACCUUAUCUACUCUUCAGAUAAGUCAAUAACUAUAUUCACCUGCCUCAUCAUAAUGAUCAAUUAAACUAUGUUCAACUUGGACAAAAUUUGAGUCACAACAAGUUUUCAAUACUUUAAAUACCAAGUUAUGCAAAUUUCCAAUUUCUUUUUUUCAGUAGUGUAAAGAUCGAGCUGAUUCUCAGGCAGAUAAGUAACCUUUAAAAUGUGAUUCUUUGUUAAGCAAGAGGACAUGCCUCUUUAGCUGCAUGAGUUUCUAUGAAACUCUGUGAUCUUUCAAGAUCUGAUUUUGCUGAAAAGUAAUAACAAUUGAUUCGGUUAAUCUGAAGUAACUUCAACAACCUUAAAAUGUAUUCACUGCUAAUAUAAUAGUACUCUGUACCCCAUGCGUAGGAUUUCCUGUCUGCUAUCUCACUUACACUAUUUGAAUUUGUACUCUGUACCCCAUGCUUAGGAUUUCCUGUCUGCUAGCUCACUUACACUUGAAUUUGUACUCUGUACCCCAUGCUUAAGAUUUCCUGUCUGCUAGCUCACUUACACUAUUGGAAUUUGUAAUAGUUACCCUCUUAUAAUCGUCAAUAAAUUAAUGAGGAAGCAGACCAAGAUAUCAGGAAAAAAAAUUGCUCCAUUUUAUUGCUUAAAAGAAAGUGCUCAUUGUCCAUCCAGUAAUAUACUACACCCUUGCAAGGACACUAGAACAUCAGAAUAAGUUAUCUACUUCUAUAAAAAAAAUGUGUUACAGGAGUUCUUGAACUUAUCUUAAAUAAUCACUAACUUAUUGAAAGCCAUUGAUGGUAUAUAUCUAUGUACGUAUACAUACACAUUUUGCCUUUAUAGAAACACUCUACAAAGAACCUAUUUGAGCUCAGGUCAUCUCAAUUCAUUUGAUCUGUUCCCUUCUGAUAGCAACACAAAUUCUGACAGAGAAGGUAGAUAUUUCUUGAUUUGUAGCAGAAUGAUAACUCUUAUUAUGCUGUUGCGGGUAGUCCAGAAUAGAAUCAUGCUCGUUGUAGAAGGAUUCUACGUUCAUGCUCAUCUCGACGUAGAUGAUUCUGGAACUAAAUGUCACACCACUUUAAAGACAAGCAUACUCUUCAAAAACAACCAUUAGGCAUGUUGUGGGUAGUCCAGAAUAAAACCGUGCUCAUUCUAAUAAAUGCACACAAUAGGCUCACCUUGAUCUUACUAGAUAGAGUAAGUUAUCACAACAAACUCAAAUCAUAUGCAUAGUUCAAUGAAAACUCAGGAAUCAGCAAGUCUGAAUGCAACCAUAUGCAUGGACACCCAAUAAAUCAAGCAAUUAAAGAUUUAUAUGAGAGAGAUUCACAAUAAUUGGUAAAAUGAUGUGUUCAUAAGAUAUAUUAGCAAUUUAGUGAAACCACAUUUACUGACUGGUGAGCAGAAUAUUUGAAAAGGAAAAAAGAAAAACCGUCUAUGCUACAAAAGCCAUAUAAGUAAAAAUCAGCAAAGAUCUCUGGAUACAUUAUAUAAAUAAUGACACAACAACAAGAUGUCGGGCACCAAAAAUAGAUACCAAGAACACAUGACCUCAAAGUUCCAAGAGACCAAGCAGAGACAUGAAACACUCAGCACAAAGAAGCUGAUCUCUAAACAUAGAAAUUGUUCUCCGUGUCCAUUCUUCUUGUCAUGCUCUUCCCCUUCCAAGACCUAGCUUUUCAUGUGUUAAAAGAUGAAACUGAGUCCGAACCAGCAUUACUCUUUGAGUCUAUGGUAGAGAAAGCCACCCUAAUAUAAUACUGAAGAUCCCUUGGUAUUGUCUCUGUGCAGGUAUUCUAUGAGUAUUGCUGACUUUCUGUUUUGCCUUGAUCGGCUCUGUCAAUUUCACAUAGUUGGGUGAUGCAACAUGCAUGAGCCCAAGCAUGGGGCGUGCAUGGAGUUUGGGUCCUCUCUUGGGCGUGCCCAAGCUACAUUGGGUCCAUGAGUCCAAACGUCAAGCUACAUUGGGUCCAUGAGUUCAAACGCCAAGCUACAUUGAGUCCAUGAGUCCAAUCAUCAAGAUACAUUGAGUCCAUGAGUCCAGUCGUCAAGAUGCAUUGAGUCCAUGAGUCCAAUCGUCAAGUACAUUGAGUCCAUGAGUUGUUUGAAGAGUUCUAGUUGAUUUGGGAGUCUUAGUUGAUUUUUAGUUGAUUGUGUCAGAUGAUUGAAUUGUUUUGACAGAGUCCUUGAUUGUUUUGCUUAGUCGUUUGCUUGUCCUUUUGUUUAAAAUUCAGGUGUGUGUGAAGACUCAUUCAAGGCAUGCGUGAAGCUCCUUCAUGGGCGUGUGCAAGCUAAGAGUCCUUCUGUUUUACUUUGUUUGAGACUCUCUCAAAGAUUAGUGUUAUCCAAAGCAAAAAAAAAGAUUAGUGUUAUCGAGUACUUAUAUAAAGAAAUUUGAAUUAUUUCAAACUUCUAAUUUCCAGCGGAUAGGAGCUGGUUGUUUGGUUUGUCUCCAACCUCCUCACACUAUAUAGAGAGAUGGUGUAUGAAGUUUUAAGAAAGAUUAGAGUUGAAAAUUUCUGAGUGAUUCUCUUAUUUUCCUUGGAGUGCGACACUCCCUUUUUUCCUUGGUGAGAUGCCAACCUUUGGGAAGAGUUCGAGUGAAGUGGGACUCUUCACCCAUUCUCACACCCAACCCUUUGAAGAGUUUGAGUGGAAGUGAGACUCUUCCACCCAUCCUCUUAGUUAUCCUAGUCUUCCCAUGCCACCUUAUUUGAGAGUCCUAGUGAAGGAGGACUCUUCCCAUUCCUCACAGCAUCCUACUAUUUCCUCAUUCCCGUGUCCACAUUCCCUUCCCACGCCACAUAUUAGAGAGUUUGAGUCCCAUUAGGACUCUUCAAUCUAGCCACGCCUCAUCUAGUUUAGUCAAGCCACAUCAAUCCUAAUUGCAACCCAAUCUAAUUAAGCCACACCCAAUCCACAUUCGGCCACACCCAAUCUAGCACACCAUCACAACACCUCCCUCAUUCUCUCACGUUCAGCAUCCCCUUCCCUUCCAUCCACAUACACAUCCAAAGACAGAAAAAGGAAGAAGAGAAAAGAAAAAAAAAGAGUGCCACGCCAUUCACCAUCCUUCAUCCUUCUCCAUCCCAUCCGCUGCACCAAAAUUUGGGCCUACUUUUACCACUCUCCAUUCUUUCUGACACUAAAAGGGCAGUUCCAGCUAUCAGGGUAUACUUACAGAUGGAAGAUGAUGGAAGAGAACUCUCAUCAUACUGGAAUUCAGAAGAGGAGGCAGAUUUUGAGCUUCACAAUGGUUGUUAAGCACUGAUGGAGGAAUCACUGAAACCCUUGUAGUGACAUCAUUUUUUCUGAUUUUUACCAAGCUAGAAUCUGAAUACUCUGAACAUGCUCCACAGGAUUUUUCACAGCUUUAGGACAUCUGGCCUCAGAAGGAUCAGUCUGAGCUUGUUCCUUUGCCUAUUCUCCCAAGGCUUAGCUGCCAUCGACCAUGCUAACCAGCUCCAACCCAAGUUGCUCUUAUCGACCUCAUGAAGCUUGAGAGAGGUCACAGAUGAGUUAGACCUUGCAUUCAAGUUGGCCUCCAUUGCUGAGAGAAAUAGUCAAAAUAAGGGUUCCAGCCAGUCUAAAUGGAAUGGUUAAGACAAUAAUGCUAUGAACUGUAGAUCAAAUUUUUGAUAACUUACCUGCUGAGAAAGAGAAUAAGCAAUAGCUCGUUCUCUCUUUGUAGCUCUCUCUUGCCUCAGCUGUAACUUUGCCCUAACUUCAUCCAGUGUGCCUUGAUUAUCAUCAUCCUUCCUGAAUAACCAAAAGAUAUUGAGAUCCACGAUUUUGUAAUGCAUUUAACAAGAUCCAAGUGAGUAACAAUUAGAAGACUGUGUAAAAAUUAGCAGAGAUUGGGUCCAUUAUCAUUCACUCUUUCAAUGAUGGAGUGCAACAAUACUCAAGUCUGUCAGUGCACAACCAUGUAAUUAUUUCUAUAAGGAUCAAAUUUCUAUAUACCAACCUCAACUUUGCAGAGCCACAGCUAUUGGUGAUGCAAAGCAUAAAAUUUCUACCAGCAUCAUACCAUUUUUUGAAACAGAUAGUAAAUUAGAAUUCUCAGAAUCAAUCCAAAUUGAGUUAAAACUUUAUGAAUGAAUGCACUAUGCACACAAAAAUUUUGGUUUGGGAUGCAGAGCUCAAGUCAAAUGCAAAAUUCAGAUUCCUUUAUUACAAACUCAGCACAGCAGACUAGAAGAUGCAGAAAUCUAGAGUGGAAGGUGAAUUAUGGUCAGGCUAAGUUCUGAUUUCAAAAUAAAGGUUGUGACUGCUAAGAAGCACUGUCUUCUCAUUGUCCUUCAGAUGUUCAAGUUUUCAGUUUCUACCACUAAUAUUUGAUCGAUGUAAUCUAGAGAAUAAAUCAUAUAGUAUUGCAAUUAUUCAAAAACCAUUUCUUAUUUUAAUUAGUAGAUGUUAGAUCUCACCCUUGUGCUAUUUGUCGGCAAAGUUCUCAACAGUUUCCAUCUAUCUCCUUACUUUCGUUAAAAUCACAAAUUUUUGCAUCCAUGAUUAAAGUACAAGUACUACCAAUUCGGUGCCAGCAUGGAAAAUCGAAAAACAAAUCAUGAAAAAGAGAAAUGUAAUUGCAAGAUGACAUGAAAAGAAUGCUGCAAUUAAAAGGUAAAUAGGGAGGGCUAAGGGUGAAUGAAAAAGGUAUACAUUCUUUCCAUUUGGUUGCGAUGGCUCUCAAGCAUCUUCUGCACACCCCGGUCCUCAGCAGACAACCGCACACGCCAUGCGCAGAUGUAGGCCUGCACUCAGACAAAAGCCUGCAUACGAGUACCCAAGAUCUACCUGUGCAUAGCCGAUGUGGGACUAAACACACAUCCGCACGGAUCCUCACACUACUACCUCCUGCUUCCUCACCUGGCAACCUCUCACCAGUGCUUGAAGCCUUACAACUCCUUUCCUUUCAAAGCUCUUAGAGCUCUUCUAGCCUACAGGUUCGAAGUUUAGAAAGAGAAGUGGAGGUGGGGGUGUGAAUGAAGGGCAAGGAUAGCAUACUAAAUUUUAACCUCAAGCUACAAAUCUAAAGGACAAAUAUUGAAGGAAAAAGAAACAGAGAAAUCUUCAUGUUCUGUCAGGAAACAGCAAGCAGGUGUGAAAAAUGAGGACUAAAACCAUUUUUGUUAAAUUCAGAAGAAAAAGUUUUUUCACAAAUAUGGCGAAUAUAAAGAAGAAACGGAAAAAGAUAAUACUUGGAUAUACAGCCGUUUUCAUCAAAUACAUAGAAUAAAAGCACAAAAGAAAUUGUUUCAAGUUAUAUAACAAACACAGACAGUGCAAUUAAAUCAAAUGAAAAAAAAGAAAUUCUCGUCUAAAUAGAGUUGAGGUUUAUUCACCGAAAAGGAGGAGGAGAGGAAGAAGUAGAAGAAGAUAAGCCUCGGGUAAAAUGUCGUACGGAUCAACUACAUAUUAAUGAGCAAAAAAGAAAAAAAAACAGAUGAGGAAAUAGAGGCAUCACAAAGGCUCAAUCAAGCAUAUGUAAGUAAGAAGAAUCAAAGUAGACAGCCAUAAUACCAAGAAUCCACCCCCGCCUCACUACCUCGAAAUCCUUUGGCAGCGCCCGGACGACCGUCGCCACCGCGGCACUGAAGGCAUCGGCCGAUGGGGAAGCGUCGGAAGCCUCCGACGCCUACCGGUGGCUUCUACUCCUCGACCCUGAGGGGCUCCUCCAUAGCUUCCGCUUCCUACUCUUUCUACUCCCACCACCACCAUCCACCUUGAAAUGCAUGCAAUCCAGUUCCACAAGCGCAAACCACGAAGCCAUUCAAGAUUGGGAAUUGGGUCGAGGAAUGGAUUGGAGUAAUUACUUGGUCGUCCUGUUUCCACUUCCCGGAGCCGCCCAUGUCUCCGGCCACCGGCGUCGACACCUUGGGCCUUCUCAGACCAAGAUGAAACAAAGAUAUCCCACAUUCACAACCCUUAACUAAAAAAUCGUCCAACCUUUCUUCAUUUGUCCCACUAAAAUUAAUACUUGUUUGAGUUCUGUCCAUCAAUUACAUGAUAUUUCUUGUCCCACAGGCCACAGAUCCUACCUUAUUUCAAGGGCCAACCUGGAAUUAAAAUCCACGCCUACUAAGUUCAGCCUUCAAAGAUCUUUUUUGCGGGGGAGGAGC